CAUGCAUCCCUGUUUACCUUUUCUUAUACCUCCCCCACCCAACCAACAUCUAUCCCAUGGCCUCUGUUUUUCCCUUUUUUCCUUACCCACUCAUCCAUCCAUCUCAUUCCCUUUGCUUUCCUUAUCUCGGAUUCCUCCAACAAAGCAGCCUUUAUUCAUAGUAGAUGCACCAUGGGGCUGAAGGAAACAUAGAUUUUAAUGAAUUUGCUUGGAUGUAGUCCACCUGUCUUCACCUUCUCCUUCACCAAUGCUGCUUCUUCAACACAGCAACAGUUGGAUUCAAACAUGCAAAUUUUUCAAUGACCGUUCUUUCUUGCAAGGCUUAGAUAAUAGCACAAAUUCUUCCUGAUUGACAAAUUACUUUUACCAGCGAUAUCCUUCUUCUCUUUUGAUCGGCAUACCAUUUGACCAUCAUCCAGUUUUUUCAUUCGAUUUCUUUCAUCAUUCUCUUCAUACUUUAAGAUUUUUUUCCAUCACUUGUGGCCUUUAUUAUUUUUAAUUUCUUCCACAAAUUACAAAUUUCCCUAGUUACAAUAGUUCAGACCAAACUUUUUGUUGGCCUCACUAUAUUUCUCCUUUUUUCAUACUGCUCAAGUUGACAUGUAUCAUGUAUGAACUUCUCAAUUUUGUGCAUUUUUUAAGUUCAAUCUUGGUUAUAUAAGUUAAUAAUAUUCAUUACAUUUAACAUGUUACCCCAGGUAUACAGGGAAUUUGGGAGUUGUUUCACUGAUCAAAAAGCUCAGGCUCAAUUAUUGAGUUCCACAUUUUAUUUCCUAAUAUUAAAUAAAGAUAUGAAUGAAACCUAGGUGCAAGUUCAACUCAGCUUAGGAGGUCAAAGUUCAAUUCCUCACAAAUGAGGGGAGGAAGGAUUAUAUAUACAAAUUCCUCUUGGCGUUCUUUCAUGAACCUCUGCAACAUCCUCACGUAGGAGGUAAAAAAUGUUUAGAGGAGCCUGAGGUUAUUUCUAAAAAUGACGGUCUAACCAUAACUAACCAAGAGACACAUCACCCACUUAAAUGUGAAGAAGAGUGCAAGGUUCUCUUGAUCCACUAAUAGAUAGUGAAUUCAUCAAGAAAAGCAAAAGAAGUAAGAGUUACAAAUCCUGACCAAGAAGAAAAGGGCUUCAACACAUUGCUUGAAGAUGCUUCUAAAUUUCUAAUGAAAUCUGUUGAUUGCGUAGAUACAAAGUGAAAAAAAUUGAUAGAUCUCCUGAUGUGACCCUUUUCCAUAUCCAAAUUACCAUUAAGGAGAACCUUCAAUCGAAACUAGAACAAGAAAAACAAGACUAAAAAUCAAUUACCACCAGAUAUUAGCAAAGACCAUAUUUUCUAGUACAAAGCAAGCAACCCCGAUCAACAUUAUCAGACGCCCUCCCUGAAUAUUCAAUCUAUGAAAAUAUUCUCAAGUAUUGAUGUAUGCUGAUAUUCAAGGUCACUUUAAACCAUGAAAAAUGCAUUAUCUCUGAUAAAAAGCAAUCCAAUUACUAUACACCAACUUUCCAGAAACCAUUCUUAUAGAUGUUUUUCCUUAAAAUCAUGGAGGAGGCACUAUGCAGCAACUAACUCAUCCCUGAUCAAUCAUAUCUUCUGCACCCUCAUCCAGAAAGGGGUGAACUCAACCUAGGAUUGGAAAUGAGUCAGAUAUUAUCCAGCCAUAUCCAUUUUUGUAUCAGCUUCGGAUUGAAUUUGGAUAGGAAUAUUUGAAUCCAAUGGAUCCGAAUCUGAAUUUGCAAGCAAAUAUGAAUCCACAUAUGCAUUUUGAAAAAUAUCAAUCCUUUUCACUAUGAAAAAUGAAAUAUUUCAGUUUUCCAUUUAUGAUAUUUUCAAAACUUGGUUGUUUAAAUUAUUUAAAAUAUCAAUACAUAUAACAUAUCCUUACAUCUAUACAUAAUUCUUUUGCAAGUUCUCUAUAAAAUAGAUAAUUCUUGAUCAUUUUUAUGUUAUAUAUUUUCAUUUAAAAAAACUAAUUUCUAAUAUAUUUUUUACAUAUCUAAUUGGGCCAAUGAUCCAAUCCAGACCUUUCAUCGUUCGGUCUUCAUGUGAGCAUAAUAUGUCGUACCGGUCCGAACCAGGCAGUACGGAGCAUACCGUACCGGCUCGGUACCAGUAUUCAGUACGAGUGGCAUACCGGGAAAAAAAAAUUUCGUACUAUACCGUAUCGAUACUGUGCUAGCGUGGCACCGAUACGGAGUCCGAUACCAAGACAGCGAACCUUGCAUGUGAGUUUAGCAACUAUAAUUUAGACCCUUGCCUAAGUAGUUGUGUGUUGCAUACAAUUUUGAUAUUGGAUUCCAUACCAAUGUUUCAUGACUAUGCCAUUUAUAUUGGUUUUGAUUAUUGAAGUCUGCUCGAAAUCCAAUUUAUAUCUGAAAAAUAUCCAACAUAUCCAUAUUUGAAUAGAGAAAAAUGGAUAUAACAAAUAUUUGACUUGUAACCAUAUCGAUUUAAAACAAAAAUGAAUAUGGUUAAUAUCCAAUUUGUAUUUGUGUCCAUUUAGAACAAACAUGAAUACUAGUAUCUAUAUUCCUAUCCAUUAAAAAAUAUGGAUAUGGGUAUGGAUAUACCAAUAUCUGAUAUGUAUUUAGCCCUAACUCAACACCUUAUCUACACAUUACCUACAUGGAGCAAUAUUGUCGAAUCUAAAUAAUCAUUCUUACUAGGGUCCAAAAAUGUUUGAUAUAAUAUAGAAGCAAAACCAUUAGGGCCUAUAAGUUUCUCUCCUUCUAUGCCAAACUAGACAUCACUAAUAUCCUCUGAAAUAUGGAAAUACCUUUCAAACUUGAGAGCCCCCUGCUUCCUCAAUUCCUCAAACGUUAAACCCUCCAAAUUGGAUCUCUAUGAAUUACUCUUCUUCGAAUUAAUUUGCAGAUGAACCCCCCCUGCAGGUGGUCCAUGCUUUUGUGUAUCCACAAUCUUUACCACCGCAGAUAGCAAUAGUGAACUUACAGUUAAGACCAACUCCUAAACUCAACAGAUAGUUUACACUUUACAGUUUCCGUUAAAUCAUCCAACGAGUCAAACCAACCUACCAAACAACCCCUCAAUACCCUGAUGAGCCCAAAAAAAGGGUGGUGUUCAUCUAAGUGGCUGCAUUGUGCUAUCUUAAUGAUAAAGGUAGUUACAACUUUUGAAGAUCUAUGCAGAACAUACCCUCUCUCUCCCUCUCUCUCGUGGAACAAAAACAUGGCUGAUCCACCCUGUUUCAUCAGAAGAUACCAAAGAUUUUUCUCAACUGAACUAUAAAUUUCUUUUGAGUCCAUUAUAUAACAAACUAUACCAAGCUAAAUAAAAUGACAGCAAAGGAAAUGGCUGAGCAGUAAUUCGAUAGCCUGUGUAAUUCCGACUUAAUAAUGCUCAAGCUAACUGGUUGAUAUAGGUGGUGAGAUCCACGAAACAAAAAGCGGCCUUCUACUACGAAGAUCCUUGGCCCAUCCUUUCCUCUCAUAAGGUCCAUUAAAUAAUUUCUCAAAAUCCAAAUUUUGAUAACGAUGAUCGCAAAAGAAUCUAUUCCUUGAUAAAUAUCCAAAACAAGCAGACUAUAUGAUAACGAAUCCAUAACGAUAUCAAAAACAGAUAAAACAGAGAUCUAAAUGUAUUAUUUUCGAAAGGACUAAAAGGAUUAUAUGCGUUAUGUUAGAGAGGAAUAAAAGGGUUAGGGCUUUACCUGCGAAGGGCAGGGGCCAUCUUGUUGGUAAGGGUACCAGCAACGAUCAUACAAUCGGACUGGCGAGGGCUGGGCCGGAAGAUCACGCCGAACCGAUCGAAAUCGUAGCGAGCGGCGCCGGUGUGCAUCAUCUCCACGGCGCAGCAGGCGAGCCCGAAGGUCAUCGGCCAGAUCGACCCGCGCCGGGCCCAGUUCAUCAGAUCAUCCACCUUCGAUAUGACGUACUCCGCCGCCUUCGACAGCCCGGUCGGAGACGACGUGGACGGCGGCGCCGGGCGGGCGUACGGUGCCGGGUACGGCGGCGAAGAGGCGGAUGAAGAGUAGGGAAUCGACGCCGGGAUCGCGGCCGCCGCCCGCUGGGAGGAAAGGAGGACAAGGCGGGCGGUUCGCGGGAGGAGAGCCAUCUAGGGUUAGGGCUUGGUCGCGGAGUAUGGAGGGAGGAGCGCUCGGAAUUAAUAAAAGAGGGGAUGAGAGAGAGUGAGGUUCGGAGAGAAUUGGGGGUUGGACGGGAGAAGCGUGGAAGUUCGAUGGAGAUCGAAGCUCGUGGAAACCCUGGAAGCGGGACUUGAUUGAUCGUGUGACCCCUUUUUGACCUUGUUAGUUCAUCCCAGGGUGGCCCUCCGGCUCGGGAAAUUCGUGACCACUUUUAGUUUUUGAAAUUUAAUAAAUAAAAAUAAUACAGUAAGGACGCCAUAGGAAAAAAAAAUAUAAAAACGACUUUUUUUAUUUUUUAUGCUUAAUUUUAAAAAAAUAUAAAUAAUAGGAUUAUCACUCAUGAAGUUCAUCAAAUCUUCAAUAUAAAAAAAUUAAAAAAAAUUACAUGCAUCAAAAGAGAACAUAUGUGAAGAAAAACUAUCUACAUCCUUUUUUUUUCUCGUCGAGUCUCUCCUUCUAUCAUCUUCUCCAUCAAGUCAUCUCUCUCAUUCGUGAGGACNNNNNNNNNNNNNNNNNNNNNNNNNNNNNNNNNNNNNNNNNNNNNNNNNNNNNNNNNNNNNNNNNNNNNNNNNNNNNNNNNNNNNNNNNNNNNNNNNNNNNNNNNNNNNNNNNNNNNNNNNNNNNNNNNNNNNNNNNNNNNNNNNNNNNNNNNNNNNNNNNNNNNNNNNNNNNNNNNNNNNNNNNNNNNNNNNNNNNNNNNNNNNNNNNNNNNNNNNNNNNNNNNNNNNNNNNNNNNNNNNNNNNNNNNNNNNNNNNNNNNNNNNNNNNNNNNNNNNNNNNNNNNNNNNNNNNNNNNNNNNNNNNNNNNNNNNNNNNNNNNNNNNNNNNNNNNNNNNNNNNNNNNNNNNNNNNNNNNNNNNNNNNNNNNNNNNNNNNNNNNNNNNNNNNNNNNNNNNNNNNNNNNNNNNNNNNNNNNNNNNNNNNNNNNNNNNNNNNNNNNNNNNNNNNNNNNNNNNNNNNNNNNNNNNNNNNNNNNNNNNNNNNNNNNNNNNNNNNNNNNNNNNNNNNNNNNNNNNNNNNNNNNNNNNNNNNNNNNNNNNNNNNNNNNNNNNNNNNNNNNNNNNNNNNNNNNNNNNNNNNNNNNNNNNNNNNNNNNNNNNNNNNNNNNNNNNNNNNNNNNNNNNNNNNNNNNNNNNNNNNNNNNNNNNNNNNNNNNNNNNNNNNNNNNNNNNNNNNNNNNNNNNNNNNNNNNNNNNNNNNNNNNNNNNNNNNNNNNNNNNNNNNNNNNNNNNNNNNNNNNNNNNNNNNNNNNNNNNNNNNNNNNNNNNNNNNNNNNNNNNNNNNNNNNNNNNNNNNNNNNNNNNNNNNGUCUCUCUCUCGUCUCUCUCUCUCUCGUCUUUUCCCCUCCCAUCCCCCUAGCCAGCUAGCCCCCAUCCUUUCCUUUCCUUAAACAGGUCAGGUCAGGUGACUUGUUUAUUAAACAGGUCGGGUUCAGGUUGUAAUUUCGGACCUGUUUAUUCAACUGGUCGGGUUCAGGUUGUAAUUCCUGACAUGUUUAAUAAACAGGUCGGGUUCAGGUUUAUAAUUUUCUGACCCGACUUGUAUCUGACCCGGCAUGUUUAUGCUUGACCCGACUCGAUUGCCACCCCUAUUGCUAGGUGUGUAUUAGAAAAACUUACAGUAUGUAUCAGUAAGCUGACAAAUGUAUAUCACUUGGCCAUGUAGUGUGUACUAAUGAGUAUCAUAUUCUAGACUGUAUAACGAUUUACCUAGAGGUGUGUAUUGGGAUAUUGGUGCUAGGUAUGCACUGACUAGCCAUAUAUUAUGUACUAGUCGACAUCAUAUUCUAAAAGCUAUAUAUCGACUUACUUAGAGGUAUGCAUUGGAUUGCUACUAGGUUUGUGUCAAAAAAACUUUGAUAUCUAUUAGGAAGUUGAUGAGUGUGUAUCACUUGAUGAGAAAAAAAAGAGCAUAAUCUUUCUUUGCGCACGGUCUUUAUUAAUGCGUGAUUUUUUUAUUUUUAAGUUAUAGAAUUUACGAACUUCAUUACUAAGAGAAAUUCUAUCUUUAUUUGACUUCCGAGUUUUCUCUUUAAGAUGGGCAUAACUGGAAAUGUGGCAAAAAGAGUCCAGCCCAUUUGAUGUAUUAUGGUGUGGUCGUUCACUUUAGUUCCGAUUCUCAUGUCCCUUUCCAGCAUGCCUAUAUGGUCAGCAAGAUGGAGUGUCUACCUGAUAAAUUUUUGAACCAUAUUUUGAGGCUCGAGGGGCAAUGGAAAGCAGCCUUUGAGUGGGCCGAGCUAUGCGAUGCGAAGACUAUAGUGGCUGAGGCAAAGGCCAAGUUGGCCAAGGCGAGGACCAAGUCGGCUAAGGAUGAGUCCAGGUCGGCAAGAGUCCGUGCUUCGAUCGCGCGAACCCAAGUGGAGGUAAAGGAGGCCCAGCUGUCCCCGACCAGAAAGGCCUUAAAGCUACCGAUCAAAAAGUGGCAGACCUUUUCGUGGAGCUGUCCUAAGCUAAUCAGAGGGCCCGAGAGGGUGAACAACGGGCCACAAAGUUGAGCAACUAGUUGAUGAGGAAGGGUGUCGGGUUGAGGAGGCCGAGCGGCAGGCCAAUAAGGCUAACCGACGGGUUGCCGAGGCUACCAAGUAGGCCCUUUGCACCGAAGCGAAGGUUGUGGGAGCAGUCGAAGAGUACUGUGCCUCAGAUGAGUUUCGAGAGGAGGCCUUGGAGACUACAACUUAUGCCCUUGGAAAGGGCUUCAAAGCAUGCCAAGCUCAAGCUCACCAGCUUUUCCAGAGGAUGGACUUCUCUGUCCUCAAUGUCGAUGAUGGUGUAGCUGGUGAAGGCGGUGACCUUGACGACAAUGAAGGUGGGGAUGCCGGCCACAAUGAAAGCGCCAAUGGGGGCAAGGGUGAAGAAUGAAGUCUUCCACCUCGUUAUUUUCGCUUGUUUUGCUUUUUGCUCGAGUGAGCCAAGCUUGAUGUACCUUCUUUUUGUUUGGUCUUUGUUGGGCCAGUGUAAAAGGUUACAAAUUUAAUAAAAGUAAAGGAUUUUUCGAGUACCUAAUUUCGAUUUUAUAUAAUUUUCUUAGAAAAAUAAAUGCUCAACUAAAUAAAAGCCAUUCUGAAAUAUGCCACUUUUUCAUAAUUAACUAAACAUGAAAAACUAUUUUUCAGAUAUUAUAUAUCUAGACAUCACCUUUCUAAAAAAAUAUUUUAAUUUUUUUUAAUGAACCAAAUAAGUCCUAAAAUUGCUUCUUCUUAUCUUUUAUAAGAAUAAUCAUAUCAAAAGAUAAUUCAAGACAUAGCAAUUUGAUUCUAGUUGUAAGUUACUUGUGAACAUACACGUUGGAAAAAAUAUAUAUGACGAGCGCAAUUAUUAUAACAAUGAAGUUAUUGUCAUUUGAGGCUCUAGUUGGAAGAGCUGUUGGCAGUAAAACUUUUAGAAGUAAAGCUUUUAUAAAAAAGCUAUUUGCUGUUUGGUAACUACAUUUCUAAAGUGAUGUGGUACUUUAGCAUAUAUUUGGUAAACAAACCGAGAAAAUAUUUUUGUAUGACAAAAUUACCAUAAAGGACAUUGCAUAAUAUUAUACAANNNNNNNNNNNNNNNNNNNNUUACCAUAAAAGACAUUGCAUAAUAUUAUACAACAGAGCAUAAUAAAAUAUAACAUAUAUUAAUACAUAAAUAUAUGAUAUAGUAUAAUAUUACUGUAAUAUAAUAUAAUAUUAUUAUAGUAUAGUAAUAUAAUAUUGUAUACUAUAGCAUAAUAAUUUAAUAUAAUAUUAAAUUAUCUAACAUAACAUAUCAAUGUAUUAUGAUAUAAUAUAAUAUAAUAUUAUAUUUAUAAUAUAAUACAAUAAUAAAGGUACAAAAUAUUAUAAUUAUUAGCAUACAUUAAUUUCAUAAUAUAACAUAAUAUUAAAUUAUUUAACAUAAUAUUAAUGUAUUAUGAUAUAAUAUAAUAUAAUAUUAUAUUUAUAGUAUAAUACAAUAAUAGGAAAUAAGAUUACCUUUUCUUGCACGAAAGGGAGUCCGAUCCACUAUUAGAGUUCGUUGUUAUGGCUCUAGCAGAUUUUUAGAUUUAUAAAAGGACAAAGUAUGUAAUUGUUAUAUUUUAUUAUGAAUAUUUUGAUUAAAAAACAGCUUUCCGACAAAGUUCAAACAGCUUUUUCGGAAAGCUCCAAAAUUGAGCUUCUUCCAAAAAGCUGUUUUUAGCUUUUUGAAAAAGUUAAAACUACUUUUGAAGUUUUUACCAAAUACUUUUUUCAUCCAAAAGUAUUUUUGGAGGACUAGAAAGUGUUUUUGGUCCCCAUAAGUUCUCCCAAACGGGCCGAGCUAUUUAGAGCCGUGAAGCCCUGUUCGGUUGCGUAAUAUAAGGGCUUUUUGGUCAUUUUACGUCUCAUAUAACUCCUUCAGCACUCAGCAGGGGAUCGAUCUAAAAGUUAUUAAAUAAAAAAUUGGAGAGAAAAAACAAAAGCGAAAACAGACCGAGGACCUCGCUAGGGCGAAAGGGAGAAAGAGAGGCGAAGGGGAGUUAUUUUCGUUUUUUUUUUUACUCCGUCGUAUCAAUCCCGGACGCCAAUCCGUUUCGCCACCACACCCUCCCCCGGUCUCGCCCAAACCCCUCGCCAUUUCUUGCCCCUCUCCGGUCUUUCUCCCAUGGCGGAAACCGGAACCGACGCCCCGGCGAGCCCUCCCAGCGGCCGCGGCAGCUGAUCUCCCCGCGAUCGCCGCCUGGAUCGUUGAUGCCCGCCCGCCUCGCCGCCGAUCUCGCCGGAAUUCCGAUCGAUGAACGGGAAAGGACCCGAGGACGCCAGGGCUCCGGCGGUGCCGCCCCCCCUUGAAUGGAAAUUCUCCCAGGUCUUCGGCGAGCGUGCCGCGGGAGAGGAAGUACAAGAAGGUACGAUUUUUUUUUUUUUGCUCCUCUCCUAGAUCCGCUCGAUUGCUGAGACUCUGCGGCUUCCGAUAGCCGCAGUCGGGUUUAGGGUUUCUUGUAUCUGGCUGAUAUGGUUGUGACGAAACCAUUCAUUUUUUUUUGUUGAUCUGAUUAGUUAUUGAUAAAAGUGUGAAAGAUGUCAUGGAAAAAGUAAUGGUAUAUUAGCAUGUUUUUUAAAAAAAGAAUGGAAGUUGUCUCAUGAAUCUGGCCUUCUUUCCCCUUGGUACUGUUUCGUUUCCUCAUUGCGAGUCCCAUGAAUAUUUUUUUCUCUCAUUGGUUGACGACAACUCACUCAUAGAUGUGUGGAAGCACUUCUUUGUCAUUACUUUUGUUGUUUUUAGUCUUAUUUAUAGCUGAGAGGAAUUGCCUUUUUGAGCGAAUGUCACGAUGUGCUUGCUGUUUUCAUAUGGUCGACCUGUUAUGAGUUUUGGAUUUAGUGAUAUCUUGUCUACGUUCAUCAGAAUGUGUUUGUUUAGCUGGGUUCCGUAGCCAUUUAAUACCGAACUUAGUUCAUAUAGAACAGAAAAUUUUGUAUGUUGUGUUUGUCAACAGUUUAACUGGUUUUCAGAUUCUAGUUCUAUCUUCUAUUGCAUGGUGUACAGUUCGUGGGUGCAAAAAAAAAAAAUCUUCUUCAUCUUCUCUCUCUCUCUCUCUCUGUCUCUCUGUGAACUCUAGGAUAAAGUUAUAAACCUAUGCAGUAGAUGAUGAACAACAGGAAUAGAUUGCAACCUUAAGAGAUGCCGAUAAAAUAUGGAUGUAUGAAGAAAGGAAAUGUUAUAGAUGGGUAAUCUAUUUGACGUGAAUCCUUUAUUAAAUGGUCUUAAUUCCUGGUUAAUGCAACUUGUAAGAGAGGGGGGCUUGCUAUGAAUCUUGGAGGGCACUGUGUAGAAAGAAUCCCGUCUUAUUUGCUAGUAGUGAAGCUCAUGCCUUGAGGAUUAAAGACCUCGAGUGACAGCAUGAGCUCAUUGUUUUGGAUGUGAAUUUCCAUUAUCUUUUCACAUUUCAUCAAUUCUUUCUUACAUUAUUUGAGGUUCUUGCUUAAUUCUUUGGAUUUGGUUUCCCUUUAGUCAUUAUUGAUGGAACACAUGAAGGACAAACUUGAAAAUUCAAUUAAUUCUACCUAUAUACUCCGAGAUGCUUUUGGAACAACAAUUGACAUCAGCAUUGAGUAAGAAUUGCUUGACCAUGUUUUUAUUUACCAAGAAGCCCAACUUGCCCAGAACUGUGGAAAUUUAAUCGAAUUAAAAAAGUCUUACCUGAAUUUGAAUUGGAAGGUUUGCUAUUAACCGUCAAUAACAACUGGGAGACAUUGUAACCUAGAUCUUAGUUAUCAAAUUAGAGAUGGCUCAACAUUGAUGUUUGCCUAAUGCUAUUGAAAGGGUUGAGUGUUUGUCUAAUGCUAUUGAACGAGUCGAGCAUUGCUACUGCAAUCAUUCCUGACCUUAGAAAAUGCAUCCAAUGAUCAGUCUUUGAACAUAGAUUGAGUGUUUGCUUUAUCAACAAGCUACCGAAUGCUUGUCUCAAUCUGCAGAAGAUGUCGUGCCAAUCCUUGUGAGAUUACAACCGUUAUGACUCAACUCAUUAGGACGGAAGCAUCGAUACCAUCUCUGUCCCAGCCAUCUUGUUGCAUGGAUCACCUUCUAUAACUAUCCAUGACCUCCAUGAGCACUACUUUCUCACAUUAACAAUGUCAAAUCAUGGUUCAUGAUGCAUUUCUCUAAAGGUGCUUUAGUCAUGAAACUGUGCACUGCAUGAGAAUAGUUCACAUCUAACAACAGGUCUGAUGGAUCCCUGGGGAAGGGGGCCCCACCUAUAUUCUCAUCUGAUCUAGAGGCUGUUCAUUAUCCAUGCAUGUGGGCAACACCUAUUCAUCUUGCCUUAUUAUGCCAACAGAAAUCUCUUGAAUUUUUCUCUAGGGUUACAAUUUUGUUCUCUUGAGUCUGAUAGCUUAUAUAUUCUUAGAGUUCAGGGUUUUGGAGGUCUCUAGGCUUAAGGCCAUAUUAAGUUCAUGGAAGAAUUUCGUGCAAAUUGGGUGAGUGCUGCAGGAUAUCCUUGCAAUUCUUGGCUGUCAGCAUUUUGCCUUUCUGAAGGUAUAACUAGAUGAAUAUUGAAAGUUUAAGGUGUCUGAUCACUAACUUAAAAGGAAAACUUUGAUAUUCAUGAUUAUCCAACCAUAAUUUUUUUUAUCUGUCUCAGCCUCUUUGGAUGCUGAAAACCUAAACAAGGUUGAGAUGAUAAGAUAAUUCUAGAUCAGUAGAUGCAUGCGGUAAGCAAGCUUAGGACUUGUGUUAUUCAUUCAAUGAUUCAAGUGCUUAUGUUUAUUUUAUUUUUAAAAUGUACUAUCACUUUGUCCUAUCUAUGGAGGAGAGAGUCCAUCCUUAUAUGGUCCAACCAAGGAUUGCUAUGCUGGAACUGGGGUCUGCACUGGUUGCCCGGUGACAUGGGUUGGUACGCCCCUAUGUCGUUUUAUGUUGGGCCCAUACUAACACAGUAGAGGGGGCGGAGGAGAGGGAGAACGAGAGAGAGGAAAAAAGAGAGAGAGAGGAGGAUAGAGGAAGGGAGAAGGAAGGAGGCCGACGGAGGGCUGAGGAGCCACGUGAAGGGGUGGAGGAGGGGCUCCACCUCUAGUUUUUCUGUUUUCCUCCACCCCUUCGCACGGCUCUCUGGCCCUUCACCGGCCGGCCGCCACCCUCCCUCUCUUUCUUCCUCUUCCUCUCCCUCUCCCUCUCCCCUNNNNNNNNNNNNNNNNNNNNUCUCCUCCCUCCUCUGCUCUCUCUCUCUCUCUCUCUCUCUCUCUUUUUCCUCUCCUUCCUUUGCUUUCCUCCCCUCUGUUGCCAGUUUCUUAUUUUAGUUGUCGGAACCGUUCUGAUCCGCCACUGGUAUGGUUCAGUACACCCGAACCGGAUGGUUUGGGUUGAUUCCGCUGACCAUGGUUCUAACUCAUUAUUCAAGUGGUUUUGUGUUUGUCACAAGAUUAUUAUAUCAGUUAUAGUUGAAACAGAAAAAUGUAUAGGUACCUUAAUAGUGUGAAUGCACCUUACAACCAAUAUUUCUCUCCCAUUUUUAAGCACUUUUUUGUGCAUUUUCUUAACUCAUAGAGUCAUCUAUUGUUUUGUUAUAACACCCUCAAAAAUAAUUCCAAAAUCAUCAAAUUGGAUUUUCAUACAUCACAAUAUGAUUGGAUCAAUAGUUAAGGAAGCAUCAUAAAAAGUAGCACUUGUGAAUGAACAUCAAAUUAUCUAUUUUCCAAGAUUCGUAGUAUUAAUGCAUGCUGCUAUGUAUCAAUACCAAACCGAGACUUAGUAGGGGGUAUUGUACAGAGUUUCGGUACACCGAACCGACCUCUAUACCAGGCAUAUUGACACUGUACCAGGAUGGUACCGGUACGGGAUCCAGUACCGAGAGGCGAACCUUGCUAUUUUGCGCCCCCCCACAUAUAUGCCACUUGAUGCGUGGACUAUCAUGGAUUAUUUUAUGAAAUCACUCAAUUUGAAUUCUGAGUUUAUGAUGUCAUACUGUGUCUCAUGUUGCCCAGUAGCUAGUGUGUGUGUUUCUUGGUUUCUUGGAAGGAAUGUGAUAUUUUUUGUGUGCCUGCUGAUGCUUUUAAUAUUGUUGUUUGUUGCAGUCGACAUUAUUUCAGCAAUAGAAUUCGAUAAAUCUGGGGACCAUCUUGCUACUGGAGAUAGAGGUGGUCGUGUAGUUUUAUUUGAAAGGACAGAUGUUAGAGAUGUAUGUUCUACAGAUUAUCUCUUUGCUGCCUUUUUCUGUCUGACUUGUUGUGCUUCCCCUUCUUGUGAUAUUAUUUCACAUUUUCUGUCUCUUUGAUCUGUAGCAUGGUUGCAGAAGGGAUCUAGAGAGCCUAGACUAUCCAAUCAGCAGGCAUCCUGAAUUCCGCUAUAAAACAGAAUUUCAAAGCCAUGAACCAGAGGUACCAUCUUUUUGGAAUGUUGCUGAUAGAAAUAUGAUCCUUCAUGCUUGAUGUGACUUGGUCUAGUUUCAUGUUUGUGCAAUCAGUUUGACUACCUUAAGAGCUUGGAAAUAGAAGAGAAGAUCAACAAGAUCCGAUGGUGCCAAAUGGCUAAUGGUGCACUGUUUCUUCUCUCCACCAAUGAUAAAACAAUCAAAUUUUGGAAGGCAGGCUUGCAGUUCCCUCUAGCAUCUGUUACUUUUCUUGGAAUAAUAUUUGCGAAUCAUAAUUUAACAUGAUUGCUGGGGAAUUUGUUUCCCAUGUGCCCCACUGGUCUGUUUACCACUGAGCUUCUAUACAUAUUUCUGAUGACUCAUGAAUCCAUCUUUGGAUCUCACGGUGCAUCACUCCAAGAUUUGUCACACUGCCAUCGAUGCAAACCAUAUUUUGACUAUUUGUAGUGAUCAACUAUCAUAUCAUCCCUUAUCUGUUAUUUACAUAUUGUUUACUGGAUUAUUCUACUUAAGUAUCAGAAUUUACAAAUCGGCAAAAGCAUUAUAAUCUUGCGAUAUGUUCUAGAAUCUAAUGGUGUUCUUUUGUUGAAAAUAUAUCCAUGCUUUCCAUCUGUUAUAACUCCUAUUUUUUUUUUUUAUAGAUUUAUUGCUGAAGACAUUCUUCAGAUAUUUUUCUAGGUUAAUUGAUAAAUCUCAAGCAUCAAUUAGUUGGAUUAAGUAAAACAAAACUAUUCUGGACGACAAUAAUAAUCUAUAUAGAGAUUGCAUACCGUGAAAUUUUUUCUCGACAAUGUCAUGAAUAAGGAAUAUUUGUUGUCUCUUUUCUAUAACAAAUAUUUUUUAUCAGAAUAUUAAUUCAUGUUGAACCUUUUGAUCUUUCUUAAAUUACCUGAGAAAAGCCAUGCCUAGCUGUCUUUAUGCACAUAUUGUAAGGAUUAGAAUAGAUCUGAGCUAGGAAUUGCUAAUUUUGAAAUAGUUGCUCAUGGUGCCUGCUGUUGGCUGUUUUUGGAAGUGAUUUCAUUUCUCUUUUUUGUGGAUAGGUUUGUCUGUGCUUUAUGUUUGACCUUCUUACAAAUAUUUCCUGUUAAAUUUCUGAUUUUUUUUUGCACAUAUACAGGUGCAAGAAAAGAAGGUGAAAAGAAUUUCUAAGAUGAAUUUGGAUCCUUCUCAAGCUGCAGCAAAUGGUAGCAUUGCUAGCUCAAGUACUGCCAGCCCUAGAGUGUGCCUUCCAAAUGGUGGAUGUUCAUACAAUUAUAUGAGCAACGACUUUUCCUUUCCUCCUGGAGGAUUUCCAUCAUUACGUUUGCCUGCGGUAGUUGUGCUCAGCCCAGCCCAGCAAUAUCUACCUCAUACAUACAUAUACAUACAUAUAUUUAUAUAUACAUAUAUAUACAUAUAUAUACAUAUAUAUACAUAUAUAUACAUAUAUAUAUUAUAAUAUACAUAUAUAUACAUNNNNNNNNNNNNNUACAUAUAUAUAUAUACAUAUAUAUGCAUUCAUUGAGAAGAGGAGAGGGGUGCAUGUGCUUGCAAAUGUCUGUGUCUCACGUGUGAUGUAUAUCUUUGCAUGAGUUUUUGCAUUGUAUUUCACAGCAUUGUGUGCAUUAAUUAUCUUAUGUCAUCCAAUAUAUUCUUUUGUUGUUAACUCUUUUUCCUGAUCCUCUUAUGAUUUAUCAAUGCACUUAUGUUCUUUCAUUUAGUUAUAGUUGUUGCCAUCUUUAGAAAUGAUCACUAAGAUGUCUUGCAUGCAUCUAUAUACGAACAGGUAGCAAGCCAAGAAACAAGCCUUGUUGCUAGAUGUCGAAGAAUAUAUGCUCAUGCACAUGAUUAUCACAUCAAUUCAAUUUCCAAUAACAGGUUCAUGUCACACCUUUCACCUUUCCUUGUGGUGUCAUCAGUUCUUUGGUCUUGCUUUAGAUGUCUUAUACUUGGUUUGGAAAUUUUUGGCACAAAUUUCAUAUAUUUUCCCCCUUUUCUUUGUUGGGAACAGUUGAAAGUCUUGCUGAGUUAUAUGUUAAUUGCUCCCAUAUAUUUAAGGGACAAUUUAGGUACUUCUUAAUCUGGAUUGUAAGUUUUACUAUUGAUUAAGCUAAAUGCUUAGAAAUGGACAGCGGAACAAGAAAAAAAUGCCCCUAGAUUUUUUUUUUGAACCCUAGUAUUUAUCUUGAAAAACUUAAAGUAGGUUAUAUGCAGAUUUUUUUAUUUGAGAAAGGCCAUAGAUUUCACCACUGAGAAGUUGGUUUGGUUUGGUAUGGAAGGUCUCCUGAGAGGGUAAAUGACUUAGCAAGGUUAUGAAAAUGUGAUGUAAUAAGUGUUCAUUUAAACAUUUGGCAGUGGCUUAUUUUUUGGGAAGAUUGGAUAGUACUGCCUAUGUCAACUAUGUUGCAAUAACUGAGUAUGGUUUUCUUACAUUUCUUUUUGGAUUGAUUUACAUUUAUCUCCUUAUAUAGAGUCUGGAUGGAACCCUUUUGUCUUUUUUUUUCUUAUGCUGAAGAAAAAUAAUUUACUGAACUGGACUAUCAUUUGUAUGCAACUUUCAUAAUUAAAUCAAGUGAUCUAUUGAUAAUUGUAAGUUAUUUUCUUGCUUGUAACUUCUUGGGCCACCCGACCUGUUUCAAUGGGACUUUAGUGGUAAUAUAAAAAACUAUGGUUAAAUUCUUAUGGCUUAUGCUUGACCUGGUAUGUUUUGUAUGUCUUGACAGCAACAUGUAACCUUCAAAAGUUUUCAGGACAAUGUAGUAUUUAAUUUUGUGUAAUUCAUGAUACAAACUCAAGCUUUACUUCUUUGGAUAUCCAUGCUCUCUUAUUGAAAAUUUCUUAUUUGAUGAUCACUUACGUAAUUUCAUUAUUUUCCUAUUUGCCAGCGAUGGUGAGACUUUCAUAUCAGCAGAUGAUUUGCGAAUAAACCUUUGGAAUUUGGAAAUUAGCAACCAGAGUUUUAACAUUGUUGAUGUGAAACCCGCAAAUAUGGAAGAUCUAACUGGUAUGAAACUAUGAAUAGUUGGCCCGAGUAGGUGAUACUUCUAUCUUAUAAAUUUGGAGGCUGGAAUUUUCAAGUUUAUGCAAGCAUCAUAAUUUUCUGAAGCUAAUCAAACAUAUGUAAGGAUGUGGACUUCUUGAUAAAAUUACAGAUGUUGAGAAUUUGAUGCUAAUCCAUAGCUCAUUUGGUUUUGAUCGUAAGUGUAAAAUUAGGGGUAUCAAUGGGCUAUGCUUGGUUGAUUUACCUGAUUUCUGUCCAAACCUUAUUCCUGAGCGACCAUCUCUGAAGCUAGCCUGAGCAUAGGUUUCUUAUUCUAGGCUGGGCAUAAAUCAGGCCUGAGUUAUUUUUUCCUGUCUCUUGAGUCCAUGGCUAGCCCAACAGGCUUGUACUUGAGCUCGAGAUGAUUAUUUCUUUGGUGGGCCUUCUGUCCGAUUGGACUGCACCAGCCUACAAACAACACCUGAUAUAGCAUGCCCCUUUUCUGUGAUAUGCAUUAUUUUGGUGUUCGUUUGAAAUAUGACUUAAGCUCAACUGAUUUGUUGGGUUCCCAUUAUGUAUUAUAUUAGUGAUGAAAGUAAAUGAAAUUAACUCAUUUUCUGACACUACCAGAGGUGAUUACAUCUGCUGAGUUUCACCCGAAUCAUUGCAACACAUUGGCAUAUAGUAGCUCAAAGGGCUCAAUACGACUUAUUGAUCUGCGUCAAUCUGCUUUAUGCGAUAAUCAUUCCCAGCUGUAAGUAACCACUCAUAUUUUAUUUUGCAUUUUGCAUGAAAUCUUGCAACUAACUGUGCUUAUGUUGAGUGGACAAUGAAAUUGCAANNNNNNNNNNNNNNNNNNNNNNNNNNNNNNNNNNNNNNNNNNNNNNNNNNNNNNNNNNNNNNNNNNNNNNNNNNNNNNNNNNNNNNNNNNNNNNNNNNNNNNNNNNNNNNNNNNNNNNNNNNNNNNNNNNNNNNNNNNNNNNNNNNNNNNNNNNNNNNNNNNNNNNNNNNNNNNNNNNNNNNNNNNNNNNNNNNNNNNAUUCCAGAAAAUAUUCUUUUGUUUUGGAAGUUGUGUGCAGUGGUUUCUAAAUUUGAGCAGUAAUUUUGGAGACAAGAUAAUUAAUUAGUAUUUAUGGAGGAACUAAGUCAGAAAUAUUUUGAACAUAAUAUUUGAUAAAUUUUACAUCCUUUUUUAAGCACAUGAUGGAUCAUUUUAAUUAAUCAAGAAUCCUCGAGAUGUUGUGCUAAAUGAUAUGAGUUUUUGUAGUAAUAGGUGAAACUUUGCUUUUAUUUGGUUUUUGUUAAGCAGUUAAGAAUACAAUACUCUAAAGAUGCCAUUGAUGCGAAGGCUUCAACAUAUAUCAGUAAAGUGACACUUUGUUCCUUUUUUUCAUAAGCUUUGUUAGCUGUUUUGGUUGCAUAAUUUUGAAUUGGUAGUUUGAGUAAUUUCUGGUUACUGCAAUAGGCAAGGAAGUGGUUUAAAAAUUUAAUAGUCAGAUGAAAUGGAUUCUUCACAUUAAGGUAAUGAUCUACUACUACUGGGAUCAAGAGGUUCAAAUCCAUUUAUUUGAAGAGCUCACUACUUUCGCAACAUCUGUAUUUGAUUAUGAUAUUUCAUGUUACUGUUCAGCAUUACUGCACAAGAGAACUUGUUGCCUAUUCUUUUACAGAUUGUCUAAUAUUAUUAGUGAGUUAUCAAUUCUUUGGCCCAAACGGCACUAGAGCAUGGUAAUAAUGGUGUUGACAAGGUGCAUAAAAGGAAGAAGUAAUAUAAUGCAGUAUAAUAAGGAGCAAUUUUGUGAAUCAGAAGUUCAGAAAUGAGAACUAUAUCCGUCAUGCAAGCCUAAGUGCCUAAGAGGCACAACUAACUCAUCUCACAUGUUUAUGUAAUUUCACUUUUGUCCUUAUGCUGUGUAAACUCCUGCAGCUUUCUUUUGGAUUGCACAUUCUAGAUCUUUGGAAGUCACUUUAGACAGUAUUCCAUGAUUGUGAGCAGCAAUGUGACUUUUGCAGUUGACCCUUUCAGUUUUCAAGUCUAUGAUGACUUUCCCAUUGUCUGAAAAGAUCAAAGAAUGGACUUUGUCAAUGUUUUAAGCUGUGCACACUUCUGUUGGAGAAAUGAGGUUUCUCCUUGUAAUACAAUCUGUGAUCCUUCCUAAUUUGUAGGCAAAUGAGGAUUCACGAGCUCCUUGUUAUACAAAAUUAUGAUAUUUUCUACUUCAAGGCAAUCAAUAAUGUAGCAUUUAUGGAUAUAAACACACUUUCUUUCUCUUGCUGCAAGGUUUAAAGUCCUAGUCCCAGUAUUGAUUGCAGAUUGGGUUGGUACAAUACUAGGGUGGUUCCAUACUGAUACUUGGGACAUGUUGGCAUCCCGGUAUGUAAGGAUACAUCAAUUCUUUUAUGUUUUUCCUUUGUUUUGAUUUUUUUGUUGUUGUUUAGGGCUUUUUUCUUUUUUUUUCUUUUUUUUUUUGGGAGGGGGGCGGGGGGGCAUAAAUUAGGGUCAGGUGAGGUUUUUUAGUCCAUUAUUGGUGUUAGAAAGGGUUUGGAGGAGGACAGAUCUGAGCUCUGCUAGCUGAAUUUGAGCACUCUCUCCUCUUCUUUUUCUCCCUUCCCCUUUCCUCUUCCUGUUUGAAUUCCAACAUCAACAAAGUAAAUGGGACUGGUGCCUUUUUGACUGCAUUCAGGGCCCCAGGAUGGUAUUCAGCAGAACCAGCUGGUGCUGGUCCUUGUCCUGCUUUGUUUUGGUUGAUAUAGUCUUGGAUGGUCUGGGUCUGAGGGAUCAGGGUCUUGGGCUUCUCCCAGGACCUAGUUAGUCACUGGUUCAAUCUGGAUGCCCAGUAUGGAGAAGUACCGACAAAGCCUCGAAUUCCUAUUUUGCUCCAUUUUGUAUCAUGAAAAAAGUUCAUAGAAAGUAAAAGUCGAAUACCCAUCUCCUUGGUUGAAGUCAUGCACCCAUCAUCCUGGGCUGAGUGAGGCUGAUACUCUUUAUGCACAGACUCUCGUUCAUAUGCACACAUUUUUAUGAAAUCAUCAUACAUGCUUCAUGUGCGCUAGGUGAUGGUAGCAAAUGGUUGAACUCUUUUUUUUUCUUCUGUCCCCUGGCUUUGGCACAAUAAAAAACAAAUAUUGGUAAAAUAUAUGGCACAGCUUUGCUCUAGUUCAUUUAUAAGCUAGUAAUUCUGCCCUUUAAUUGAGACACAUGAAAGUUUUUCCCUUCCCUUGCUAAUUUUUUAAUAUGAAGAAUGAUGAUGUUAUUUGUCUAGCAGUAUUGCAGCUCUACCUUGAUUUUGUGUAACUAUUUCUGGUGUCUGUAGGAUUUACAUGUAGCUAUUUUGAUGUCUGUUUGUAGCAUUAGUCUGUUAUAUCUUUUGCAGUCUUUCCUAUGAAGCUCAUGAUGUUGGUUUUUGUUUUAUUUUGUUGUCUCAUUUAGAUUUACUUUUCUUUUUUUUUCCUUAUGCGAUUUUUCCAGUUAUGGGACAUAAACAUGGACUCUGGUCCUGUUGCAACUUUUCAGGUCCAUGAAUAUUUAAGGCCUCAGGUAAUUUGUUUUUGUUACAGUUUAGCUCAUGUUAAUUAUAGUUGGCGAGAAAGAUGUAAUGCACCAUGUACUUUGGUUAUGAUGGUUCUAUUUUCAUACAGCUAUGUGAUUUAUAUGAAAGUGACUCCAUUUUCGACAAAUUUGAGUGCUGCCUAAGUGGUGAUGGACUACGGGUAGCAACUGGUUCUUACAGGUGUGCGUCCUNNNNNNNNNNNNNNNNNNNNNNNNCUAUUUCUUUCCUUAAUAUUGAUAGUGCUGCUACUGUUUGUGCAACAACCAGCAAUCUCUUCCGUGUGUUUGGUUGCGUUGCUGGAAGCACAGAGGCAGCGACUUUGGAGGCCAGCAAAAAUCCCAUGAGGUAUAGUUGAAUUGAUCAUGGUAAUUUUACAUACUUAUUACUGACAAAAUGAUUAGACUCAAAACCUUUUUUCUUGUGUGUGUGUUGGUCGGGGGGGGGGGGGUUGCGGGUAGAAAAGAACUAGAUGAACANNNNNNNNNNNNNNNNNNNNNNNNNNNNNNNNNNNNNNNNNNNNNNNNNNNNNNNNNNNNNNNNNAUAUCCAGAUCUGGCCAAUACAUGUUUAAUUUAUAUGGUUGAAAAUACAUGAAAAUUUUAUACUUCACAUUAGAAUCAUAUUAGCUGAAAAUUUGCAUGCUGUUUUUUUAAUAUAUAUGUAGCUUCAAUUACAAGGAUAUGGACUUGGGAAAGAUUUAGCCCUUUAUAUUAGUGAAUGAUGGGGAAGGGUAUGCAAUGUCAACCCAAAUUGUUGGUUUAGUUUUGAAAGCUAUGGGAUUAAUGUCGAUAAUGUACAAGUGCUGGUACCCGAUGAUACUAUGGUGUCUGAGAAUCUACAAGUUUAAAAUUGUUCUUGUAAUUUUGCUAUUGUUUAUGUGGAGCGAUAACAUAGCAACAGUAGUAAUUGCUAUGUGGCAUGGAUCACAUCAUCAUGGAUCGCUGUGGUUAUUGAUGCAUUGUACAACCCUACCAAGAUGAAUGAUGGAAUUACUGGUAUGAUGGGUUUGGGUUUGAAGAAAGUGAUUGGGCGCUUCAGAGAUGAUAGAGUGCGAGUUGUUGGAUGUGGCAUUGAUGUCGUCUUUAAAACACAGAUAUGCCAAUAAUAGAUGCUUGGCAUGUCUGUAUGUCAUUGACAUUGAUAAAAAAAGUUAUAGGUUUUUUGGAAAAAAAAGGCCUUUAUCCCGUUAUGGUCCCAACAAACUGGGGAUCCUGGGAGGGGGACAGACCUAACUUUUAGCAUUUUUUCACACAAAGUGGCUGCUCCUCCAGGACUUGAACAUGUGCCAUUUUGCUUGUCAACCCAAGCUUUUUACCAUUGCACCAAUUGAUGACCCCUAAGUUACAAGUUUUCUGAAUCAUAGAAAAUUUAGUUUGACAUCAUUAGUUUAUUACAACAGAAAAAAAUGCUAAAGGUUCUGAAAUUUCUACUUAUCAAUUUCUUCUUUAGUACUGCAACUCUUUGCUGGUGGUCUACGAAACAAGUACUUGGUCAAACAGGUAUUGGGUGACUGUGUAUGUGACUGAUAAAAAAUGCAACUGAUAAAAAAUGCCUUACUCGGAAGGUUUGUGCCAACAUAUUUACUCGAUCUUGCCUUUUUGUUGUUAUUCAGAAGACAAGGCCAAAACCCUGCAAGGCCUGCAAGGUCUCUGAGCAGUUUGACACGUGUUGUCAGACGAGGUCAGUGUUCACCCAUUAACUUUAGUAGCUCGCAACAGCCUAUGCUGCAUAAUUGUUUGAGGUUUUCUCAGAAAUCUUCUCCACUUCAUAAUAUUUAACACAUAUACCAAAAUGUUGCAGGAGCAGAAACCUCAGGCAUUGAUGCAAAUGGAAACUCAUAUGAUUUCACAACCAAGUUGCUCCAUCUAGCAUGGCACCCAACUGAGAAUUCGAUUGCCUGUGCUGCUGCAAACAGCUUGUACAUGUAUUAUGCUUAGAGAAGGCCAUGGAAAGAAAUGAAUUAGCAAACUAUUUUUUUGAGGGGGUUGCUUCUUGUGGAAGCUAUUCUCGUUUCCUGAAACCAGCAAGAACCGGGAGUAGGAUGUGCCAUUGGAUGGUCACACGUGUUUGAAAUUGGGGCCAGCGGAGCUGUCAGAAUCCAUGAGGAAGUUAUCUGUCUUUUGUUCCCGGGAGGGCAGCCUAGCUCUGAUUUUUCUUUCCUUUUAUUUUCUUUUUUAUGGAGAAGAUUCACGUCUUUCAUUAUUAUGUCCAGUUAAGCCCCAAGGUGUGGUUGUAGCUCUCCUACAAUCAAACCAGAGGCUGAUCAAGGGUCUGUGUCUCAGAUGCUAUGAAGAGGCUGUUCUGCUGCCUGUCAUGCAGGGGUGUCGGGGCUUGUAUCUUCAGGACAAGCAUUUUGAGGCUUGUGAAAGCUGUUAUUAUUAUUAUUGUUCAUUUCUGUGCUAACCCUUUUUUUAAAUAUUGAAAGAGUUGUCAGCUCUUGUCUAUCAUCAGAAUAACUGAUAGCUGAAUGCUUGGGUUUUUGCUUGGUAGGCUAUGAUUAACUAUUUAAUGUCAAAUAUCACUUGUACCUAAAUUUGGGAUUCCAGGGAUGGAUGGCCUCAUCCUAAAUAUGCCUCUUGUCUUGGAGUUUCAUAUAUUAAUGACGGUUGUUUCCUGUAUGGGCAGUAAUAAUCAGGUGUGUGUAUGUUGAAUGAGCUUUUUGUGAUGCCCUUGAUGGGCAUGAAGGCUGAGAUUGAGUAGGCCUUGUUAGCAGGCAUGUUUGGUUCGAGACAGGCCUGCCAUCAUUAAAAUUCUGGAGACUUGGGACCUCAUAGUAACAUGUCAGACUGCACGGUGAUCAUCAGAAAGUGUCCUUCACCUUGUUGAAUUUUCCUCCAGAUUAUGGGUUCUGUGCAGCAAACUGGCUGGUUCUGCUGAGACGGCUCGAUGAAUGCAGCCAGAAAUGAGUUGGCUGUUGUGCUCGGCGAGUGAUCAAUUGUUUAUGCGCUGCGAUGAUGAGAUCAUCUUUGAUUUAAUGUGGCAAAGCCAAAGCGUUUUAGUAGGUCUUUUUAUACAUGAAACUUGAUACAGGUAAUGCCUGUCUCCUGCGACUAAAUGUUUAUCCGUGGACUGUUGCUUGUCCGCUUUGAUGCGUGAUUAGCUCGUGAAAGGCAACUGCUUGAAACUGCUUGCCAGCCCUUUACAGCUUCUUAGCGCUGUGGCUAUUCUAUUGCUGUUCUUUUUUUAAUGUUUGCAUGUUCUGGCAAUAGAUUUUUUUUUUGUAAGCAUUGUCAAAUAAGUAUGAGCUAAUUUCAACUGAAAUAACAUUUUUAAGGUACAGCUAGAACUAUUCUAGUCUAGCCUCUGACGGGGAUAGCUAAAAAUAUCUGCAAGUAAUACAUCAUAUGUUAAAAGUAUUGGUUGUGUUUACGCAGUUGUCAGCCAUAUGAAUCGGUUAAUCUAAGGGAGCAUUUGAUAAUGGCUAUGGUGGAAGUAAUCAAUUUGUUUCCAAUAAACUUGAUAACUAUAAUCACAAUUUUCAAUGACAUGCUUCCUCAUCUCUUUCUUUGAAGAGUUUGUACGAAGGAGAGUAUUUAUUUAAAAGAGGGAGUAGCAGAAGAAGGGCUGGACUGUCCGAGCGUAGUAGCCAAGAAGUGUUCAGUGAAUCAGAACGGAGUUGAAGCAGGGGGUGGAGAUUGCUUGCUUGGUUUGGUAUAAGCAGGUUAAGCAGGAGCCUACUUCGUCGAAGUGCUCCACUUUGGGUCAACUGAAUGCUCGAAGUGGAAACUCUUGGACCGAAUUGAAUUCAGAUGCCAGUAACAAGCGCUUCUUUUAUUGUUCUCAUACAUAAUUUGAGCUUUGCGUGAAGACAAGCCCAACAAAACUCAAAAUAGCGACGCUUCUAGACCUGCUGCCUCUCCGAGGUUAACCUGGAGACAACCAGAUGUAACCCAUAUUGGUUCAGGCUGGUUCAAUUUGAUUUGGGUCGAGUUCGGGUUAAAAGAUUUGGACAACACAAUCAAUCCAAAUCCAACUACCAUAAUUGGCUUCUAACCUCAGACAACCAAAUCUUAUCCUAUAUAUAUGUAAAGUUCCCACGCUAGUCUAACCAUUGCCUCUCUCAUUUUCUAUAACACUAUGUACUCUAACUGCUCCCACGCUAGUCUAACCAGUGCCUCUCACAUUUUCUAUAAUACUAAGUAUUCAUACUUAAGCUGCAUUCAAGAAAGAUGCAUAUCACCAAUGUCUAUGCCAAUGAUCUCGUGGAAGUCAAUGAUCAACUGAUCUGCAUCCCAAAACCUCUAAGCAUCGCACAAUCCCCAACCACCACUUAGGACCCAGCGAACUGAGAGGGUGAGACAUUGACGAGGUGAGAAAUGGACGAUCUGUAGCAGUACUUCAGAUUCAGAAAGAGCCGAUGCAUUAGCUAACAUAAAGAAUAAAUUAUGUCAAUUAUCUCAUAACCAAAAUACGCCAUCCCGAUAGCAGACUCUAUAUCGGUGCCAUUGUAUUACUAUAUUGAUACGUCUGGUAUACAAGCCGGUUCGCCAUACCAAAUAUCGGUGAGUCAUCCAUGCUAUAUAUCCUGAUCGAACUGGUACCGGAAUUUCAGUAGCAUGGCUCUUCAUGAAAUCACCCUAACCUGACAGGGUUCGAAUUAUGGAGGCUAGGAUUCUGUGCUCAAAUUUAGAUCAUUUGGCACUUGAAUUCUCCAAUAAGUGAGAUUGGAUAUUUAUUUUGCGAGUCCAGCCAAGGUUCACGCAGGAAACUCCCUUUUGAUCCCAUCCCAAAAUCGAAAUCCUAGAAAGAGCUGUCAUCCCCCCUUCCUCCACCCUUCUUCCAAACCCAACCCGAAGCUUUCCAACUCCGAUUCGAUUUUAUAGAACCGGAAUCCCCAUUCACGGCCGCCCCCCACUUCGAAUUCUAUGGCGAUGGAUAGCUCAGCAUCGCGGUUCCCUUCCCUCGCUCGACCGCGCCAGAAUCCCUGAUCUUUCGCGCCACCGUCGUCGUGGGGCUCGCCCUAGCCGAGCUCCCCGCCAUCGUCCUUUUCCGCCGCCCGCUAGAUGCGUUCCAAGCGCUCAUCUUCGCCUCCUCGGAGGCGAUCCUCCACCGCGAAGGCUACCCCCGUACGCAGCGUGACGCCGCUGGUGCGCUGCCGCGUGUCUCGCCGGCGCGGCGGCGGCGAUGGCCCGGGCGGUGGUAGCGCGAACUUGUGCGCUGGGGCCGGGACGCGGGAGACGGUUUGCCGGGGAGGAGAGGUGGUGAACGGCGGAGUUUGGUUCCAGCGGACUCGUUGGCUGCCUAAAGGUUCGUGUCCUCUGGAUUAAUUUCCUGUAAAUAUUUGACAUGGCUCUUGAAAAGGAGGAACCCAACAUAGGGAAUGCCACGAGGAGGCAUUGGAUGUUUUCGCUUCUGCCGCUGAGCCUCAAAAAUUAUAUCCACGGGAGUUUCAUGCCAAAAAAAAAAAAUCGAAUAUUUAUACUGCAAAUUUGAAAUGUAUUAUUUAAGAAAGAUUGCUGCAUUUGUAAAGUUAAACAAAAAGUAUAUACAAUUACAGCAGCAAAAGUUCUCCGCUCGCUCGAUCUUAGUCCUCCAUGCAUAAACUUGGAAGUAUGUGUUUGCUGCAAUGGAUUGUUCCCCUCUUCCUAAUUUUUUUUAUUUGUGCGUAUAAUCGAUACUAGUUAUAACUUAUGUGCAAAUGUAACAAAGAUUUUAUAUAUGGGAUAAGAAAUUUUAGAAACAUUAUAAUGUAGCUUGGAUUUUAAAAUUCUUUCUCUGUAAGUUUUUCAAAACUUUAUUUAAUAUAUUUUAGUUUUUCUAAAGAUAAAAUCAAGAAAAUUCUUUUUUUUAAAAAAAAAAUUCUCUUAAACUUCUUUUCGGAUUCCGCCGGUAGAAGAAUCCUUUCGUUAUAAAAAUUCAGCAUUUUUUAAAACUCUACGGGGAGAUCUAAUUAGGCUUAUGUAUGGAAAUUGAAAAACAAAAAACUAUAGCUAUUUUUAUAUGGUGUUAGGGUUUCCUUCCAUGUAUAUUUACCAAGUUAUUUUCAUCAACUAUUUUAAUGACGUGUGCAUUGAUUUGUUUGAUGACAUAUUUAAAAAAGGCAAAAGAAUCUAAUGAAACUUAUUUAUAAAACAAUAGAUUAUAGGUUGCUUACUAUAUCCCUGAUUUAUUGUUCAAGAAUUAUAGAAUCAGCUACAACAAUAUCACCGCAUGAUCUUUUAUCAGAAUGAAGCUUAAUUUACUCUUUCUCAGAUAUAACAAUGAUGUCCAUUGUCAUCUCCCCCCUUCUCUCUAAUAGAAAUCUAUUUGUAUUUGCAUGUAUGGAUUGAGCAACACUGCAGAGAAUGAAGUGAUUAAUUGGUGAGCAAUUAUAGCUCAUCAAAUAAAAUAAUGUGGAUGUAAUCAGGGCAAUUUUUGCUAUCUAUAAUUAUUGAUUUAAAUAAUUUGAUGAAACUAAGAUCCAAGAAGACAAGAUUUUGGUGCAAUGGUAAGGUUACUCUAUUAUGACUUAGAUAGUAUGAAUUCAAAAUGGAAAAACAGCCUUUCCACACAAUGGAUAAGAUUGUGUAUCUCUAAACUUUUCUAAACUUUGUAGUGUCAAAAAUCUCGCCUAUCAAAAUAUAAAAGCCUGCACCAACUGCCUCAUGUCAUGUGGUAAAGGAAUUUUUUUGUGACCUAGAAAUGGGCACUUCAUAAUAUCCCCCAAGAAAAGAUUCUAAGUUUUUUUUAAUAACUUCUAUAUUAAUUAAAACUUAUUUGAAUAAUAAAUAUACUGUUAUAGUAAAUCCUACAAGUCAAUGAAAAAUCCAAGAUCCAUUUUAGGAUUAGUCCAUUUAUGAAGCAUAAGAAUGCUUUUAUAAAACAUAAUUUAUCGUGUAUCUAUCUAAAGUCAACUCUCAAUUGAAGCGUGCGCUAUAGGCGUUAACAGAAAAAAUAAAUAUCUUGAAGGCACAUACUAAUUAUAUAUCAUUUAGCUAUAUGAUGCAAGAUUAUAAUAUAAUCAGCAUGUAAUUUGGAUGAUUGCAUCCAAAUAUUGUAAAAAUGGAUAUGUGAGAUGGAAAACCCAUGUGUGGAACUUUCUACAUGGAUGGUUGCACUAAAAAUUGAAAUCAAGAGAUGUCAUGAGGAGACAUAACAAUGGUUGCAAUAAAAAAAUAUGAUAAGGAAUAUGAUAGUGAAUGGAUGCGAUAGGUUUGAACCAAUAAGCACAUAUUUAUAAACGACUGUUGGUAAGGGACACGAUGGUAACGGAAUGCAUCUUUUCAUAAGUGAUUAUUAAUAACCUAUAAAUAUACUAAAUAAGAUCUCAACUGACUCACUUCUUUUUGUCACCAUAAUCAUUAUACGGUAUUACCAUUCUGUUCUUUUUUUUUUGUUCUUUCUUUCCCUUUAUUUCUUUUCCAAAAAGUUUGUAUUUCUAACAAUCCUUGUGUGGUCAUCAGACUAAUGAUGAUGACACAAGAUUUAUUCUUCAUCUCAAAUUAUUAACAUAUCUGCAUUCUGAAACCAAUAUUGAUAAUUUUCUUUUCCAAACAAGGGAAUCAGUAUCAAUAGUUCAUGUGAUUCCAAUUGGAAUGAGUUCCAACUGCAUUGGACCCACCUUAGGUCUAUAAAUUUCUUACUAAUACACUGCAACACUAGACAUUAUUAAUCAAAUAGUCAUAUGCAUCAUACAUGUGGAGAUUUGAAGUAUACAACAACCAAGGAAUUUAAUGACUUCAACCCAAGAUCUAACAGAAGCCUAUUCAUUAAAAUCCUAAGGACUCGUUUGGUUCGCGGAAAAAAAGAGAGGAAAGUGUGGUCAAUGAAAAGGAAAGAGAUGCCUCUUAUUUGGUUGGAGUUUUCAAAGGAGAGAGACAGAAAAGUUAUAUUCUCGUGGAAAUAUGAUUUCCACAUUUCAUGAGAAAAUCUUUCUUAUGAGCAAUAUGAAAAAAUUACUUUUCCGUAAUCCAAAAAUCAAAACAUUUUUAUUUUUUUUUUAAAAAGUCCUUCAGCAUCAAAUCAAAAAUUCUUAUUUGAUCCAAAACAUUAAAGACCUAAUUUCUAUUAAGGAUAUAAAUAAAAUUAUAAAUAACUUUUUUAGAAAAGUGGAUGGUCAACCAAACAACAGCAUUCUGUGAAUUUGUCACUUUCUUAUGAUCAACCAAACAUACCAAACUUAUUUUUUUAAGUAUCUAUCUUUUUUAAAAUUUGCUUUUCAAAAAUUAUAUUUUUAUAAAAAAAAAUAUUCCCACCAAUCGAGCCGUAAAUGUACUGUGAGUCGUGAUCACGCUAAUACUUUUCCGCGAGACAUUUUAGGCACUACAACACGGCCUCCAUGGUGGAACCCUUAUAUAAGCCAGUCGCCCCUCGGUCCAAAAGUCCGAAGCCGCUUCAAGCUGCUCUCCAAGCGUAGCCGGGCGUCCCCCACUCCCAAAGCCCUAAUUUUUCCUCCCCAAACCCCCGUCUUUCCUGAAAUGGGACGGCGGAAGGGCGGAAACAAGAGCCUCGCUCCGGGAGGCAGCCAGAAGUGCAGCUCGAGUAAUUGCCUCCACGACGCGGCCACCGGUACGAGCAUCGCCGGCGGGGAGGAGGUGGACGAGGUGAUCGAGGAGAGGACCGAGAGCUCCAACCUCGAGAACCCGCCCGAAUCCCUAGCCCUAUCCAGCAGCGAUAAAACCAGCGCCGACUAUUACUUUGAUUCCUACUCCCACUUCGGUAAUGCGUUGUUGUGACUCGAAUUCGAUGCGGUUUUAUGUGCAUUUGGGCGAUUUUGGUGGUUUAAAUCGAAAAAAGUUGUCAUCUUUUGAUCUGAUAUCGUGUUUUUUGCUUGCCCUGUUGUUCAAGAUUUAAUUCAUUUGCAUACUGCUGUUGUUUUUAAUAUUUGUUUUGUUCAUUGGAUGCCUAAUUCUUAUUCUGAGGUGCCAAGUAUUGUUGCUGUUCUGCAGGAAGAUUUUUUCUGGUUUUCUUAAGAAUGUAGAGUCUCGGCACUAGUUCGUUCACAAAAUAAAAAAAAUGUUUUUGUUCAUUCAUCUCUCUCUCUCUCUCUCUCGUUAUCUACUUUUCAUAUCAUAAUUUAGACAAAGGUAAAGCAAUUUUUGUUUAUUUAAUGACUUGAGGCAUCCAGUAGUAUAAUAUUCUGUUCUCGUGAGUUAGAUAUAGGAGUUUCUUAUAUGUGAGAGUUGCUCUUGAAUUUGUUGUUUGUAGCUCAGUCAGCACAGCAACUUACGUUUCUGUUCUCCUUGUAUGCAGGCAUUCAUGAAGUAAGUACGUCACAUUCAGCUUUCAGAAGAAGUGUUGGUAAUGAUGGUUUGUGAAUGGUGAUGAUAUGAAAGGACUUACAUACAAUUAUAGUUCUAUUAGAAAAGUGAACUUUUUCCUGUUCUUUGGCAUUUAAGAGAGGAUCAUAUGGCUUUAACGAAUAGACAGAGAGACAGACAGACAGACAGACAGACAUUUACAUUGCUUUAAUUAUUAACUGUUAUGUGAGAUUUGGGUUCUAAGCUAAAAUAUGAUUUAUUAGUAUGUAGCCCUACGAUUUUUAUUAGUGUCUUUAACUUUCUUUUAAGCUUGGAACCAGAAUAUCUAUUACCUCCUAGCUACCAUGCUUGUAUCUUCCUUCUUGUCAUCAAGAAACUUAAUACAAAAAGAACAACUCUAAUGGAUAAUCAGCAGACAUUGAUUCCAGCUGAUUUAUCAUGUUUUAUUUUGGUCUAUUAAGUCUCAUCUGAAUGUUUUGGUUAAUAUUCUGUUUUGCUUUCUCUGAAGUGUCCUGAAUUAAUCUCUCUCAAAUCCUUACAUGUACUUCCAACUUGUGAUAUAAGAAAAUGUACAUAAUGCUUUGCAAUAGUGAGUUGUGGAUUAUCUGUUAUUGUGUUUGAUAUUAUUUAUGCACUAGAAGUGUGUUUCAUGAUAAUUUAAGUGCUUAGACAAGUCAUAAUCCUAUUAGUUCUCUUUUUAGGGAGUAGGGAGGUGCGGUAUACUUGUAAGAGGCAGUUUUGGUGUAUGCUUCCAAAAUUUGAGGAUACAUUUGUUUGUACUAUAAACUCAUAUAUUCCUCUUUGGCAGUGCUAUCCAUGAUUUUACCCUUCUGCUGCUCCUAUGGGAGCUUGUGGGCUGCAAUAGCUCAAUCAUGUUGAAGUAGCUGUGUAAUAUGAUAUUGUGUACGUUUUCAGGUGCAUAUGGCAGUUUAUUGAGGUGUUACUUUAGUGAAAGCAGUUUAGCAAUUCAAGUUGGUAGCUGUAUAAAACAAGGAUGCUCAGGACCUUUUAUUUUAACAUCUUUGAGACUAGCUAGUAUUUUAAUUUUCGGAAUUUGCAAUUGUAAUAGUAAUUAAUUUAGUUAUUCUCAUCAGAGAUUCUGUGGUCUUUAUUUGAUUUGUUUUAAGGAAGGGAUUUUUUUAUAGCUCAUGUAUUCAGUGAAGAUAUGUUAUCAUGGUCUGUUUCUGGAGAAAUUUUGAGUCCUCAUAAUCUAUUUAAACAUGUUAUGUUGAGAGUCAGGAGGUAAAUGGAGGUCGAGAUCAAUUGACAUCACUAAAUAGUUCAAACUUGUGGCGGCAUAAAUGUUCAGAGGCUUUAUUUUGGGAGCAUAAAUGUUCAAGGCCAUUUCAAGUGCCAACUGCUAGUUUUUCAUUAUUUCAUUAAGGACAUUCCCCAUUUCCAUCUCUUGAAACAUUUUUGCUACAUAAUUUGCAAGUUUUUUUUUCUCCGGAUUUGUCAGUUCAAGGAUAUUUUUCUUAUUUCACAGAAGCAGGUUGUUUUUAGGCAAUCUUUUCUUUUAUUAUGUUUGAAUUCAAAGUAAGUUAUUCCCUCGUUGUUUUCUUUUGAAUAGUGUUUUUGGCUGCUAAGGUGAUUUAAGGUUGAUUUAUCCAAUGUGAAUAGAAAUGUAUCGAAUAAUAGGAUGCAUCUUUUGAGAGUUAUGAUAGCUAUAUAUGUUAAUUCCAUAUGAUCAGUCGUGUUUUCUGUGAAUAGAUUUUAGGUUACUUCUUUUCUUUUACUGUCUUCUUGCCCUCUUUUUUGAAAAAAAUUUAUUGUAAGAAAGGGAACUUUUCUAUUCUUUCAUAAAAAUGACAUAUUGGCAACUAUGAAAAUGUUGGUUAUAAACCAGCUCAUGAGGGCUAUUAUCUGAAUGAAUCUUCUGAAUUUAUGCUGCUACAUUUAUCGUACUGAAGAGACACCAUUAAGUUUUUAAGUGUUUUCCUAUCAAGCAUUACUAUUUGAUUUGGAAGCUUGGAAUGCUUCGAUUGACUAUGUUGAUCCUGCAGGAAAUGUUGAAAGACGUUGUCAGGACAAAGACUUAUCAGAAUGUUAUUUAUCAGAACACCUUUCUCUUCAAGAACAAGGUGGUUCUUGAUGUGGGUGCAGGAACAGGAAUUCUUUCUCUUUUCUGUGCGAAAGCAGGAGCAAAACAUGUUUAUGCGGUAGGUUUCCUUCCUUUUCUCUCUCUAGGUCUCUCUAUUUGGCAUUAUUACAUGUGACAAGGCUGACUGACUUGAUGAGACUGAGGAGCACAUAUGCUUCUAGGAGCUUGUUUUCAAGAAAUGAGCGGUCAGAUUGGUCGGUAACAUGAUAUACACGACAAAAAAUGUAAAGAAAUUGAGGAUCUGUAACUUAAUCAAGUAGGUGUCAAAUGGAUGGUUUUAAAUACUAUAGUUUACUAUGAUCUAAAAAAUCACUUGUUUUAAGAUGUGUGGAUCAUGAUCCAUUAAAUGGAUUUUCAAUUUAUGUGCCCUAUAAUGUGUGUUACUGUACUAGUGCAAUUGAUACUGUUUAUUUUUGUACCAACUUAAUGUAUAGUUUAGAAACCAUCAAAAUAUAUGAUUUCUGCUUUCUAGGUAUGUCUUUGUAGUGUAAAUCAUGUUUAAUGAUUUAGGUUUUCAAUUUGGAGGCUCUAUGGUUGUUAACAAAAGAUUUUCCUCUGUGGUAGGUUUCAGAUCUGUUAUUCUUCUAUUCUUUAAACCUUUUUUUUUCCAUGUAUUCUCUUUCUUUAUUUACUUCUCUUCUGUAUGGCAGCAGCAGUUAGCUAAAAUAGAAUCAAUAUUAGCAAUGUAGUCUUAUGUGUCAGCUGCCGACAGCCUUUUUAUUCUUCUCACUUCAUUAUUAUCUUAUAUCAGCAAUUCAGGAUUAUCCUUUAUAUUUUUCCCUUAUUUUUAAGUUGGACCCUGCUUAGAUUAUGGAUACAAUUUUUUGCAGAAAUGUGCCCGUCUUCGUAAUCCAUUUCUUUCUUUUUCCUAUUCACUAGAAAUCCAAGUGCAUCCUUCAUCAUCUCCAUGAGUUGUUUCUUUAAUCACAAUCUUACUUAGAAUUAGAUAUAACAACAAAAUUCUGAUUUUUUUCCAUUGGAAGUUUGGAUUUUAUAUUAAGGUCCAUCUUUUUUCACAGCAAUUUGGUAGUGGUGCAAAUAAUCCUCUGCAUUGUUACAAUGGUUCAAUAGACUUUGCAUGAACUUGUUUUCCUUAUCCCUUUCUAACAAUGGAGUGAGAAUUUCAUCAAAAUACUAAAUUAGGCCUUGAAAUGUCUGAGCUCAAUGGUUUGACAUCAAAAAGGUGGAAGGACAUCUGAGGUGGCUGGUGAGUUCCAAGUGGAUAGAGUAAAAUUGGACAUAGGGGGCUUCUUUUCCGUUUAUAUCAUGCAAAAGUGAUGUUUUUACCCCAGAUAACUGUUUGCCAUGCAGCAUGGAUUCUUUUCCCCUGAUGAUCUCUUAUGAUUGUUUCAAUUUUCAAGUUAUUUUACAUCAGUAAUUAAUUCAUGUUGUUAAUUAUUGCAAUCAAAACCCUUCUGCAGAUAGAGUGCUCCCACAUGGCUGACAUGGCAAAAGAAAUUGUUCAAGCAAAUGGAUUUUCUAAUGGUCAUUCCUGUACAUUGUAUUUUUUAUUUUCUGCCACUGCUAUGCAUCUUAAUUGCUUUUGUUAAAUGUUACAGCCAUAACAGUCUUGAAGGGAAAGGUUGAAGAGAUUGAGCUUCCAGUCACCCAUGUAGAUGUCAUUAUUUCUGAAUGGAUGGGUUAUUUCCUACUCUUUGAGAAUAUGUUGAACACGGUGCUGUAUGCACGUGAUAAAUGGCUCGUAAGUGAUGUUUCACAUUCAUUUUACCUUCUUCUUCUUGUCUCACAUGCUGUGUCUCCAAAUUGGAUGGUUUUUCUAGGACAAUAUCCAGUGCGAGAAAGAAUUUAGGUCUGACCAAUUUAGUCCAAAACUCAGAGUAAGCAUAGGCUAGACAUGGCUAUGCCUCAAUGAGAUCCUAAAUAGAUUUUUGGAAAGCAGUAACCUAUCAAAAGGGAGUGACCAGUUAAACAUGUAGAUUGAUUUUAGCAGUUGCAUGGUCCACUUUUCACCAUCCUAGCAGUUUGUGCAAGGUUGUGAUAGCAUAGUGGAAGCAAAUGCUUCUCAUAUAUGAGGCAGUUCAAUAGGACAUUACUAGUAAAAUAUUGUGAAGUGACAUUGAACGUCUAAUAUGUAAUGAUCUUAACUGAAAUUUGAUUGAAUGAAGAUGCAGCUCAGUCACUCAAAUUCUCCGCGGUUUAAUUGUUUUGAAUAAGCUAGGUCUGUCACAUGAUGGCAAUGCAUAUUAAAUUUGUUAUAUCAUGCUGCUAGAUUUGAAGUCAACCUCAUUGCAUUUAUUGCUGUAGCUAUGUGAAGUACAUGGUUUCAAAUGCUGGUAUGUGCUUGUCAGCACAUAUUGCAUAUUGCUGUAGCUAUGUGAAGUACAUGGUUUCAAAUGCUGGUCUGUUCUGGUCAGCACAUAUUGCAUCGCGCCAAUAUCAGCACCUGAUACAGUUCGACUUGGCACCUAUUUAAUCCUUUCUUAAAAAUAUACCCUUUUUAAAAUAUUUUUUAAUUACAAAUGGGUUUUAUUUUUCUUUUAUUUGUUUUGGUACAAUAGCGUAUGUGUGCCGGCACAGCAUGGCACAUAGUAUUAGGUGGGUGAUCAGCAUGCCAACUGACAUUGAUACUUGUAACCUUGGCAAAAUAUGAUUUCAUUCACAGAAAGCCGAGUCCAACCAUCGAAGACUGUCCAUUGCAUAACCAAUAAGAUUUACAGUGAUGAUAGUUGAAUCUUUAUGGCUUUACAUUAGUUAUUUGAUUACAUUUAGUUGUGUCGAUUCAUGUCGAUGAUAUCUUCUGGCGAUUAAAUGGCCUGUCUCAUUAUGUCUGAUCACUAUAUUGAUUGAACCCUAGUUAUCCAAGAGUAAAUGGAAUACCAUAUCAUCACUUAUUUGGUUUUUUUAUCGUCCCUUUUUUCAUGCAGAUUAAUGAUGGAAUUGUGCUACCAGACAAAGCCUCUCUAUAUUUGACAGCAAUUGAGGAUGCUGAAUAUAAGGAAGAUAAGAUUGAAUGUGAGCUUAUUUGUCUUUUGAUUUUUUUUUUUAAAUUAUGGUUUCUGCAUACUUAUAAUCGACACCUUUAGAUGGGAACAUUAUAUCCCUAGAACAUUUUUUGAACUUCUUGUCUUUCAAACAUACUGUGAAGUUUAUGCCGAGACACUGUUUGUCGUGCUUAAUUCUGUUUCUGAUGGUGUAUCAUCUCUCUGCUUGCAGUCUGGAAUGAUGUAUAUGGCUUUGACAUGAGUUGCAUCAGGAAACAGGCUAUGAUGGAACCGCUUGUUGACACCGUGGACCAAAAUCAAAUGGUCACCAACUGCCAGUUGCUCAAGGUGAUUUAGUGGAUCCGUUUUUUCUUAUCUCUGUUGCCUUAAUUCUUCAUUUGAUUAACAGAUUGCUUAAUUUUUUUUCCUUGCUCACUACUUUCAGACUAUGAAUAUUUCAAAAAUGGCUCCAGGAGAUGCAUCUUUCACAGCACCUUUUAAACUUGUGGCAGAACGCAAUGAUUACAUCCAUGCUCUUGUGGCUUACUUUGAUGUCUCAUUCACCAAAUGUCACAAGAUGAUGGGAUUCUCUACAGGUUCUUUUUCUCUAUCUUGGCUAUAAUCAUGAACUUCUUGGAAGAUUUUAUGUAUGUUCUGGAUCUAUGUAUGUACUGUGACUUCCAGCAGCUUGUGAAAAUGGGCAUGCAUUUUUGAAAAUGGGCAUGCAUUUUGACAAGAGUAUCAUGUGAACUUUUCUUUAUUUAACAUUUUGGAAUUUUAGCAUUGCUGCCUUCCGCCCAAACUCAACCUGCAUUUCCCAAGAAAUUCACUGGGCCAGACAGCAGGAGAUGGUACUAUACCAUUAUGCUUCGAAAAGUUGUGUUUAUGUAAAUGGGUAAAAUACUUUUAAGAGCAUUGCUUCAACAAUUGAAUUUCAUGUUCAUGCAAAUAAAAAAUUUCCUGUCAACUACAAAACCUGCGAGUCAUAUGGAAUUCACCUGAUUCUUAAAUUGAAUUUUUGAUAGUGGCCCCGGUCUUUGGAGUCAGGAAACUAGUUGAAUCAAUGAGCUAUAGUUAACCCACAAACUUUUGAGCGGCUGGUGUGGUGCCCAGGUGGUUUAUGUCAUUGAUAUAGUUGACAGGUUACAAUUUUGAGAACUAUCAUACAUUGUAAUAAGCAGUUACCCAUUUGAUAUAUAAGAUUUCUGUCAUUCCUUUUGGUUCAAAUACAGCAAUAUGUACCAGUAUGAAAAGAAUGAUGCAAAUUGUAGGCCUUAAUUGUGCAUCAUCCUCUCCAAAUAUUAGGAUCAUCUCAUUCUCAUGGUUCAGAAAAUUAGAUGUUCAGUUCUAAGCUCCUGUUUGUGCUGCAUAUUCUUAAUUUUACAUGGUUCUGUAUCCAUUCUCACCUUUUGCAUAUGUUUGAUGAUCUCUAACGAAUAGACUGUCUCUACAGGGCCAAGAUCAAAAGCUACCCACUGGAAGCAAACUGUCCUGUAUCUUGAAGAUGUUCUGACCAUUUGUGAGGGAGAAGCAUUGGUUGGGAGCAUGACUGUGGAGCCCAACAAGACAAAUCCACGGGAUAUUGAGAUUAUGCUCAAGUAUUCAUUAAAUGGACAACAUUGCCAGGUCUCCAGUACCCAGCAUUAUAAAAUGCGUUAACCUGUGAUCGUCAUUCAUCUGCAAGAGGUACCCAAUGACUUAUUGACAUGCUUUUAAGUUACAAUUUAUUCUGUUAGGCCAGCACACAGAAUUGGUGUUGCAAUGUGUUAUGAUGUUUGAUGAGUUUAUUUUGUUGUUCCAUCGACAAAAUAAUCAUAGCAUUUCAAUCCAAGAUUUGAUGUUAACCCUAGAUGGAAACUAUCACCAGUUAAGCCAAGGUAGUCAUCCAUGGUAGCAGGUGAAACUCUUGAUUAGUGCUAUGAUUCUGGCUGGUAUAGAUCCUAACAGGAAGUUAAUUGUUGUCAUUAACUUUGUAAGAUCAAUUGGUCCUAGAUAACUUAAUGAAUUAAUUACAACAAGAAACGAUUACUCUCUCGCUGCAGCCUGCGUGAGGGAAAGAGAGAGUGUCCAGGGCAUCACUAGAAUUUCGUGCUUUCUGGGUGAACUAGCGCCCAUUUUUACAGCUCUUAUGAUGCAAUAUAGUUUCUCUAUCAAUUAAAACCACGUAUGUAAUGCCAGAGGACUGGAUUUUUUUUUGUGAUAAAACUACUUAUUAUGAGGCAUAUUCUGCCAAAACACCAUUCCUUUAUUUUUGUACAAGACACUCAUAUUAUGGUACUCGAUUUCUCUUUUUUUAUUUGAAAUGAAAUGGAGGGAAAGUGGGAAGCUGCUGAAAUUAUUAAGGAAAGGAAAUUUACAACAUAUUACGAAGUGAGAGAGAAAAGAAACAAAACAAAAAAGAAAAACUCCCUAAAUUUCAUCAAAUGUAGACACCCUUUUAACUUCAUAUGCAGCGAGCCGCAGGACCAUUAUAAUUUAGUCAAUACAAGGCAUUAAAUCAAAGUGACUUCGGAAUGCCAGGAGAGUCACAUUUUAACUCUGAAAAAAAAUCGUUCUUUUACCUCCAAUUUGUCUCCGUUCUCAACAAUAUCAAUCUGGAGAAUCCAAUCCACCUCUUCCUUCUUGAGAUUAAAUAUGUUCUCAUCUAUCCCAAUUAUCUGAAACUCCAAAACCUAUAUCAAUCACAUCUUUAAGAAGGAAAAAAAAAUCAGCUAAAAGUUGCACACAAGAUCAAACGAUCAACCAGAUCCACUGCCAAUCUGGCAAGACGAGCAGGGAAUCAAGAAGGGAGGACGGGAGGGACUAUUUUGGGGCAGAAACACAGACCUGGCACUUGAUCAAGGGGACGUCUUCUGUCCGGGCGGCCUGAGAUGGCUUCUUUGGGGCAGCAAGAGCAAUAGGAAGGAGAAGCAAACAGAGCGGAGAGCCGUCGGAGAGGCCUCACCAUUGCUCACCUCCUUCGCCCUUCAAAGGGAUUCUCUAGUCAUGCCGACUAGAUCCGAUCAUUGGCUGAUUGGGUCUGAUCUAGUUCAAGCAAAUUCUCAUUCAGAUCUGAACCAUUUACAACAAUAAUUUAUCUACGCAUCCAGAUCGAGUUCCUUAAACUAAAAGGCUUGGAAAAAGGUUUUUUUUUAUUAUUAUUUUAUGGUUGCAACUGUUGUAUUGUAGUAGGUCGGGGGGGAAGCUAAGGCUUCUAUGGUAGCUAUGCUUCCUCAUCUUGCUUCUACUUUGCUUGCUUACGUGAAGUUUCAGCGUCCUUUUCGUCAGGUCCAAAUGAAGUGAGUAGCUCUAACUCCAGAAGCAGCCACCACAAGAACUGCACUUUAUGGUUUCAGUUCUCACUGCUGAUAAUUGUCAUUUGUGUAAGCAUUAAGUCCGAAACCACCGUUCUCACUGCUGAUAAUUGUUUGUGGUACUUUCCACUUAACAGUAAGUUCCCCAUAGGCUAACAAAAGUUUUAUUGUGUUAACAAGCGUAGCAUAAAUGGGAAGCUAAAAAUAUCUUGCUUUAAAAUAUUUUCCUGAAGCUUUCAUUAUCUACAUAUUUAAGUAAAACUAUAAAUACAACAGUGGUGCUGAAAGGCAAUGCAAGGGUAAAAGCAUGCAUGUAAGGUCCAACAUAAUAAUUCAACACUAAAACAUGCAUGUCAAUAUUAUGCGACGUGCUCUAAAGUAUACUGUCCUGAAAAAUUAUGUCCAAACAACUGAACACUCGCUUUCUUGCUGUCAUUUAUGUAUACAGGAAUAUUCGGGACCAAAGUAUGACAAUUGGCAGAUAUGAAACUCAUUCAGUGAAAUAGAAGAUGAUUUAGACAAGUUGCAUCUUAUUCAUAUCCUUUCACCCUGAAUUGAAGAAUGGAAUUGUAUGAAAUUAGUUUCUCCCUGUGGUGGCUGCAGUUUUCACAUAAAUGCUAUGCUUAAUCAUUGACAUGCAGGGACAUCUGAUGGCAAGCGAACUUCUUAUUCAUCAGAUUAUAUGCACAGGUUUUGGCUUUUAAAUUUGUUCUUUCUCAUAUUCUUGAGGCUUGAUAUAUGCUAUGCAUUUUGUAUUUCAAAUUUAUAGUUAGAAACAAAAGGAGUGGUAGAAACAAAAUCGAGCCUAUGUACUCCUCCAUGGUAAGAUAACAAUAUACAAUCUCCAUAGCUAGAUAACAUGAUAUGUACUCCUUCCAUCCAUGAAAGAGCCUAUGUCAACUUCUAAAAGGACAAUAGGUGAUCAACAUAUUUGAUCCAUCUCAUAUAUUCAAAGCAAUGAGUUGCUAGACAAAGAGGUACUUGCUUUAAGCUGAGCUAGUUACGUGUUAAAUUGAGAGAAGAACGACCUAUAAAUGCAAAACAUUUUUGUAGUUCAAGGAAUGGUUUAACGUUUGAAUAAAUUCAUAUAACGAACCAUCAUAAGCCGAUGUUGUUAUGCUAAUUUGCGGAGUGAGUUGGAUGGUAUCCUAAGAUAGCUUCAUCCGAUGACUUUGCAAUAGAUGUAUAUAAUUGGCUCGACUUUCUUUUCUUCCUUAAUGAUUGCAGUGGUGAUACAGGUUUCAAACCUUUUGAUGGUAUUUGGUGACCCAAAUGAAAUUAUCAUGGUGAUCUUAGAUCACCGAUGAUCUUGAUCUCUAAUGAUCUAAGAUCGCCAUAUUUGGUAUGCUUGUUCUAGCCAUUAAAUAUCCUCGGUUAUCCAUGAUUAAUUUGUUUGGUAUAUCAUAAAAAUUCAAAAUCACUAGCCAUAUAAUACCCAAACUACCUUUGAUGUAUUCCAUAUAUUUUGCAAUUAAAAAGAAUUCUCAAACAAAUCAUAGAAAAACAUACAUGACCAUAAAUCAAAUCAUCAAAACAUAUGAUUUUAGACUAAUUCAGCAAGAUCAAAAAUUAAUCAAAACUAAUCAAAGUAACUCUAUAGAAUUAUCAGAACCUCGUAGCUUGGAGAUUUUUUUUUCAAAAAAAAAGAUUAUCAAAUUCUUCUCAGCUAGAAGAGCUUUAUUUUUCAGAUAUUGGCAUUUUUGGAAAUAAUUUUUUUCACUCGAUCGAGGGGCAUUUUUAUUUCUAAAUUUCAACUUGUCGGGGCGAUCUUAAAAAUCUGUCCUCAAGGAUGAGUAUAAGAUCACUGGGUUGGGUGGUAAUUUUAAGAGUAAGGAUGAUUUUGGGAUCGUUACCAUAUAGAAAUACUAGAAUGCAAUCAAAUAUGAUGAUCUCGUCAUCUCCAUCUACAUCACUUAAGAUUUUGAGAUCAUCGCUCUAUACCAAAUGCCAUCCUGUGGUCAUCUGGAAGAAGCAACAUAGAGAGAUUAAAAUUUGCUUCAAGAAUGUUUGAAUAGGUUGGUCUGCUCCUAUCAUGCUUGAACGUUAGGACUCAGUUAUUCUGAUCAAAAGGCUGUGACGAGCACUUGCCAGCAAUUCGACCAACUCAACCUUCCAAUGCAACACUGACACAUGGCAUGACUUUUAGGUCUCCGCUCAGCUGCAUUUGUCUCUUAGCAGCCCAAGUUAAAAAUGCACGGAUUUGGAAAGCAAAACUUCCUGCAUGGUAACUUCAAGAAGCUUCCAUUAUUAGUCCAUGAACCUAUUUACAGUCUACCUGCAAUGUAUGGAAAUAGACCAUUUUUAAAGCCUUACGUCAGCCCUUUCUCGUGAUAAAACAUUUUUGGUUUGAUUACAAUUUUUGAAAUAAUAAUUUUUGUCCAUAUAUAGGGGGGCAACAAGAAGGUAUUUGUGUUCGAAAUUGUUUAUUGUUAUAGUCUAAAAUAUUUAUGGCUUUGUUUCUAAAAUUUAUAUAGUAACUUUAAAAUUUAUUUCAAUUCUUAAAAUUCUUAAUCAAAGAUUAUAUUGCAAAAAAAAUCAUAUAUAUAUAUAUAUAUAUAUAUGCGAGCAUACGUGUGUGCACAUGAAACAUGUAUUUAUAUGUAUGCAUAUUAUUAUUGGAAAGUUAAGAUUCUCUAUAAUUCACGAUUGAGCUAGAGANNNNNNNNNNNNGAGGGAGAGGAAGUCUUUCAAUCAUAACUAUGUAUAUAUUAUAUGAUGAUUAUAAUUGAUUAGACCUAUGCGAAUACAUGGGAUAGCAUGUGGUGUAACCUAGUUGGGUUGGUAGAUUCGCAUACGUUACAACCUAUAUAAUCAUCAGUUUUUGGUAUGGAAACAAUUUGCUUAACUUUACGUCUAUUUUAAGAUAUUUCUAAUAUAUUCGUAUAAGAAUGAAAUCGGAUCGAAUACGGAUCGGAUACAAAAAUAUCCAUACAGAUAUAUUUUUUUGUUUAACAAAUAUAGAUACAGAUACGAAUGUUAGCCAGAUGCAAAAAAUUAUAUCUAUAAUUGUUUUAAAUGAAUACAGAUACAAGUCGGAUACUAAAAAUAUAGAUAUAAAUACGAAUAUAAAUUGGAUAAUUAAACAUUAUGACCACAGAAUCAAAGAUAUUAUUAAGUGGAUGAUAAAUCAAGUUAAUAGUAUGUUAAUGUAGUUAUUUAUUUUUCUUAAAAGUUAAUAAAUGUCAUAUAAAAAUUGAAUAGAGUUACACAUAGAAUCGAAUAUUUGGAUAUGGAUCGAAUAAUUAUCUAUCCAUAUUUAUUUUUUUUAACGAAUAUGAACAACGAAUAUUAAUCAAAUACUUAUAUAUAUAUAUAUAUAUAUAUAUAUAUAUAUGUAGAGAUAUAUAUUNNNNNNNNNNNNNNNNNNNNAUAUAUAUAUAUAUAUAUAUAUAUAUAUAUAUGUAGAGAUAUAUGUUCAAAUAUAAAAAUAAAAUUGCACGAAUAUUAUCCUUCUACUUUUAUUUCUAAAUGUCCGUGAGUAUCAUCAUAUACAGUGAGUACAUUCUAUUCAUGCGAUGCCAUGAUUGUCGUAGAACAGCUGGGAUUGAACGAACGCCCCCUACUAAUUUGGACCCUCUUGGAGUCCAAUCAUCACAUGGCCAGGAUCGUACGGAGAUUCGCGGUAGACCUUUUGUCCGUCUUGUAAAGCAAAACGUGGUUUCCAUUCAUAGGCGUGCCCUCCGAUUACUGUAUCUCUCUCAUUUUUUUUGCCGUUUUAACGGAGAUACCUAGCGGCCGUUAUUUUCAAAAUUAUUUUUUAUUUUUGUGGUCAAAAUUAUUUUUUAUAAUUAAAAAAUGACUGUACUGUUUUCUUUUUUACGACGGCUGUUUAUAUUACUUUUGGGUACCGUCAACAAAAUUCAAAAAUAAAAAUGCCAAAGUAAUAAAAGAUCCUGAUGUGUCCAGAAAACUUCGUCUGAAUGCUGUUUGCAAUAAUUUUUUAUCCAAAAUUUUUCGCCCUCUUAAUUGACAUGCAAUUUUAAUUUUAAUAUAUUAAAUGAAUUAAAAAUACAACAAUAUUCCAUCUCGGGGGUGCAAGGCUUUAAAGUACAAAAAAUAAAAAUAAAAAAUAAAAAAAUCAAACUUUGAUUUUUCUAAAGAAUAAAAGGGUGGCCACGGCCGUCAUAUAUUUAAGGCGAUCGCGCUCCCCGUAAUCAUCGUAUGUUCCCUUCUUUUUAAGAAGGCGACGGCCACCAACUCCGGCAAACGAACCAUUUUUCCUCUCUUUUUCAACCGUUGGAUUUGACAGGUGUCAUGCACCGAAUCGCAUAGCAAGAAACCCGGCACCACCCUUGCAAGCCAAAAAUCCAAUCACGUCAAAGCCGGGCCCUUCAUCAGUUGUACCACACGAUCAGACGGUGCCGACCACCACGAUCUCCCAUGGUCCUGCUCAUACAGUCAAACCCUGGACCAUCACCUGCAUUCCGGUUUCCGACAAGUCAACCGGUCAACAACACCAAAAAUCUCGUCAUCUCAAAUCGGACGGCUCUGAUCGUUCCUCUCGUGAUCCAACCCUCACUCAUGGCUCAUGGGGUGCGGGGGGCCGGGAAGACUCCGGCUGCCAGCUAGAGAGAGAGAGAAAACUCGAGUCGAGGAGAGAGAAAUUAAUAUAAGGGGGUGUCGGUGGGGGGUUAAAAAUAAAAUAAAAUUUAGAGGAGGGGCCGCUUCGUAUAUAAGCAAGAACGUGGAGGGGAUUCGGGGGCUUUAAAACAAAAAAAGCGAGGCCGAGAGAGAGAGAGGCGGGGAGAGAAAGGGAGAGGCGGAGAAGAGGCGGGGAAGGGAUCCGGGGAGGGAAGGCUCGGUUAUCGGUCGUGAAAUCUCCUCAGCCGGCUAAUGGGGGAAUCAAGUGGGUCGGUUUCGGUCGAUGUGGAGAGGAUCUCUCUCGGUGGAAAGGUCAGGUUCUUUCUUAGAAGUAUAUGUUCCUGUUAUGUAUUUUCAUCAGAUCUUUAUAUUGGUUUUUUUAUUAUUAUUAUUUUUGUUGAUUUUUAUGGUUUCAUCGUGUGAAUUACCCGGAUUUAUGAUGAUACAAAUUAUAACGUUCUUUCAAUAAGAAGUUGUUUCUUUAUGUUUAUGAUUUUUUUCCGCUAUAUUUUGUUGAUUUUGAGGAUUUUAUUGGGUGAUUAUUUGGAUUUACGAGGACAUAAUGUGGUUUGGAUAAGGAGUGUUUUUUUGGUAAUAAAAUUUUGGAUUUUGUAUUAUUUUUCUGCAGAGCUGUUAUUGGAGUGUUUUGUUCUUCUAAUCAGUGCUGCAUUUUUGGGGAAUUCAAGGAAAAGUGCAGGAAACUCUAAACUGGGAUAAUACUGGGGUUGCUUUGCAUGUUUGGUUUUCUUUUUUAGUGUGUUGGCGUAAAAUCUAAACACAAUCGUCCUUUCUUGAUUUUGUUUAAUUUAUAAAUUCUUUCAACUUAUAGAAAUAAGUUGACAUUUCUAAUCACUGGAAGACGUAAAUCUAUCUUUGAUUUAUUAAUGGUUAAUGCUAAUGUUCAUGUGGCUGUACUUUUCGGUUGUAGUUUUUUUAUAUUGUUUUAGUUAUAUAUAUAUUAGACCUUAUGAUGCUAGAGUCAGUUGAAAGCUAGAUUGCUUGAGUUCUUUUUUUUUACUUGGAACAAUGGAAUAAAGGAUUAUUCCUUUCUUCAAAAGUCGGCAGGGUAUUAUUUUAACUAUUUGUGUUAUAAUUGCUUGAUUACAAAUUAAAAGGCUUCUAAACUAGCCAAAAGCCAAGAAGACAUGUCUCCAUAUUGCAAAAUUUUAAAAUAAAGUUGUAUAUAUUAUUGCUCAAAAAAUAAAUUUGCAUAUAAUAGAGGUAGCAAAAACUUCCUCGUUCAUAUAAAAAGGCACAAAAGUUAUUAUUAUGCUGUAUUCUUGAAUUACACAAUGAGUUUGAUGCUCUCUGUGUGGAUCUUCGUCUCAAUUCUGUUACGAUUCUUCAAUCUGCUCUUGUUGUUUUCAAACCCUAAUGGAUUGUCUUUUUGAAUUUAAAUUUUUGAGCGUCACCAUGCUAUUGUUCCAUUGAUCCAUGCUUAGGUCCAUCUACAAUCAUCUGCUUUUGAUGUCUUAUGCUUCUAAGUUUAUAUGUCGUUCCUUUGAUAAUCUCAACAGGCCAAUAUUGUUAUUCUCUAUUGCAAGGUUGGGACUCGGUAAAAUUGAGUUCUGAUAUAAUUCUGUUGAUUGAUUCAGGUGCUACCGAAGAUAUCAAGCUUCUUUACUACUAAACUAUUUGCAUUGAUUUGGUUGCUCUAUGUUAAACAUCUCUACUGUGAAGUAGUUUGGGGAAUAUUGUAUAUAAAAAUUGUCUGGCAGUUAUUUCAAACCAAUACUCUAUUUUUUUUAAAAAAAAACCUAUUGCAACACACCUAUUAACUUGAAAUCUAUACAGUGUGCUUCAUCUGUUAUUUAUCUUUUUGACUUUAAUUUUUGCACUAAUGUUUAUUUUAAACAUCCUCUAUUGCAAUCUUUCUUAUGGGAUGCGAUUUCAGUCAUCGUCAUUUUGCUUUCUUGGUCUCUUAAUACAGAAUGAUAUUUUUAUGGUGGCCUGCAGGAGCAUUUUGUAAAAACAAGACAUGGCACAGUGUCUGUUGCUGUGUUUGGAGAUCAGAAAAAGCCUGCACUUGUAACCUAUCCAGAUGUGGCUUUAAACUGUAAGUUCCACUGAAACAUUUUCUAUGUGAACGUUGUUUUCUUUUUUGUCAUCCCUAUUCUCCAUAUGUGUGCAUUGUUAAUGUUUCAUUUGGAGUGAUUAUAAAAUGUACGUGUUUAAAGGUUCAUUCAAGAAUGCAAUUACGCCGGUUCCCUUUUGAUUGAGUUAAUUUAUUCACUCAAUUACAGUAACACUGCCUAUUUGUUAUUUUCCUGAUGGUUUUCAGGGAUUUUUUACUCCCUUUUCUGUCUUUUGUUUUGAAAUAAACAGAUGCAUCGUGCUUCCAAGGAUUAUUCUUUUGCCCUGAAGCUGCUUCUUUGCUUCUUCACAACUUCUGCAUAUAUCAUAUUAGUCCUCCAGGACACGAGGUCAGUAGUUUGGUUUCAGCUUCCAUAAGAAAUAACCUUGCAUACAGUUCUAUUCAAUAUGGUUUGUUGCCAUCAAAUUGAACAUGGUAUUUACAUGAGUUUGUCAUCUUCCUCAAGAGUUGUUGCAGUUAGGAGCUGCUCCAAUUUCUUCCGAUGUUCCCAUACCCUCUGUCGAUGAUUUGGCGGAUCAGAUCGCUGACGUUCUUGAUAUUUUUGGGUAAUAUUCAAGUGCUAUAUCUGCUUGUGUGAGUGGAUCUUAGGAUGGAAGAUGUGUGGCAAGGCAAUUUGAAAUCUAACAUUUUUACAUCCUUUCAAUUUAUCCUUUCCAGGUUAGGUCCAGUAAUGUGCUUGGGGGUCACGGCUGGUGCUUAUAUCCUUACCCUUUUUGCUGUAUGUGGUACCACUUGAAAAUGUUGCUCUGUUUAUUGUUUCAAUGACUAAAGUUUUACUUCUUACUUCCAGAUAAAGUAUAAGGAGCGUGUUGCAGGUCUGAUACUUGUCUCUCCUCUAUGUAAGGCUCCCUCCUGGACAGAGUGGUUGUUUAAUAAGGUAUCGUGUCAGAUCCCUUUUGUAAGUUAAGAAAGAACACAGUUUAAGCUGAUGAAUAGAAUCCUAUCUUCGCCGAUCCUCAGGUAAUCUCCAAUUUGCUCUAUUUCUAUGGCAUGUGUGGCUUGGUUAAGGAUUUCUUACUUCAGCGGUACUUUAGUAAGGUAAACAAGUUUCAGUUUCACAGCUUUAUAUCUGAUUCACUUUACCAUCUGUCCGAUGUCUGAUGGUUUCUUCUUUCUGACUUUGUUGGCAGGAAGUCCGUGGAAGUGGACAGGUCGCUGAGUCAGCUAUUGUACAAGUUUGCAGAAGUGUGAGUUUUGAUUUACUCUUAUUGCUUUACAUUGUUUUGUCAUUUGGUGGGGUUUUUUUGAUCAUUUGCAAUGAUUCCUAUGAUUUUUGUCACUGUUGUAGUUGUUGGAUGAGAGGCCAAGUGAAAAUGUCUGGCGGUUUCUUCAAUCAAUUAAUGGGUAUGUCCGUACACCUUUGCUCUAUAAAAUGUCAACUUUAAAAGAGACCCUUUGUCAUUUUAACUUUUGCCUAUUUAUAAGCAGGAGAUAUGACAUCACAGAACAAUUACAUCAGCUACAGUGUCAGACACUUAUAUUUGUUGGUGAAGAUUCUCCAUACCAUUCUGAUGCCCUCCACAUGACAUCAAAACUAGACAGAAGAUACAGUGCCUUGGUCGAGGUAAUAUACUGAAUCAGUACAUCUUGGGUGCUUUUCCUUAUUUAUGGAUAAUGGUUGCUUGAAAGGGCUCUAUUCAGUCCCACUGCUGGCAUUUUUUUGUGUUUCUCUGGGGAAUACAAUGCAGGUCCAGGCAUGUGGAUCAGUGGUGACAGAGGAGCAACCCCAUGCCAUGCUGAUACCCAUGGAAUACUUCUUCAUAGGGUAUGGGCUCUACAGGCCAAGGCAGUUUACUGGCAGCCCACGCAGCCCGCUCAGUCCAUGGUGCAUAUCUCCAGAUCUGCUGUUGCCUGAAAGCAUGGGCGUGAAGCUAAAGCCUAUCAAGACAAGGGUGUCACUUCACAUUUGAUAGUGAUGGGCAUAGUCAGCGAGCGAGGUUUAGAAAGAGUAAAGAUAGCUUCAACAUUUUGUAAUGUUGAAGUUGUAGCUGAUAAUAUAAAUAUGUAUACGAGCUCUUUUGACACCUAGGAUGGAUUUCUUAGGGAGUGUAGAUGCCAAAGGAAAAGAUUCUGGUGGGCAGCCAGGGGAAUGCAUGGACAGCAAAGAGAAUCUAUUCCUUUCAUUUGUAGGCAUCAUGCUCGCCUGUAAAAUCUGCAUUAUUCAUGAUGAGCUGACAACAAUAAGAGGUAGUGGCAUCCUCAAUCAUGACUUGUGUUGUGUGGUUUCAUAUUCAAUGGAAACGUCCUUGUAGUAAUUAUUUUAUUCUUUUGUUUAAAGAAAGCAAAGGGUUAGUAAUCAUAAAAUUGUUGUGAUUUUUCUGGUCAUUCACAUGAUCCCUAGAAUCAUACCUUUAUUGGUACACCUUCUAUUUAAUUGUUAUUAUUUGCUUUCAGAAACUGACUUCGUGUUUCUUGUAAGGGCUUGAGAGUGGAACUGUUUCAAUGGUGAAUUUGUGUUGCUGGCCUUAUUGAGCUUUUUUUGUAGCCGGAGGUUACAAAGAAGUGAGUAGUUCAUUUGGUGAUGUCUGAAGCAUCAAACAAGCUGUGUGGAUAUAAGUUCUCGAAUCAUUUAUGCCUAUAUGAUCAGUGCAGCCUGGAGCUAUACAUUUUAUUCAGGGGCCUCCUCCAAUACCUGUCACGUCUCUUAAAGUCACCUCCCUUUAAGCUUGGAAAUGACUUCCCAAUAUAAAUGUUGGAUUUCUAUGACAGAUCUUAGAUUUGAAUUGUUACCAUUACAUGAGCAAUAUACUCAGUCCUAGAUGCACAGUUCAGCAUUUAGUUUGGAUGGCUGGCGAUGAAAUUCUUUAUUUCUUUGUAGAGUACUAUGCAGGACAGCAAUGGAAAUCAUGCAUUAGCCAGAGAUUAAGGUUGUCAUUAGUUAUAGAUAAGUUUUUUGAUUAUAUUGUUGUUAGGUAAUAUUCUUAAGAGCUCUUAUCCAAUGCUUUGAAUGUUGGCUGACUGGUGGUGUUUCUUACUGAUGUAGAAACUCGUAAGGAUUGUUUUAAAAAUUGGCAGACUUGAAUAUAAAUUAUUCAGUCCUGAUACACUUGCUUAAGAUCUAUUCUUCUGUUACUAUUUUUUCUGACCUUUAUUAAGAAUGUUGUCACUGGGAAGAGCUGUUAAUGAGUGCCAUGCGGUCCUCUCCAAAAUUUGGAACACUUUGGGGCGCACCAACACACACUCAUUGCACUUGCUAAUGUCGUGCAUGGUGAUAUUAGCACUGUCAAAAAAUACCCAAAGUUUAUUUAGCUUGUUGCAUUCGAUAUCAGAUAAUGGUCUUUAAUGUCACCACCAUCAUUUCUGCUAGCUGCUAAAUUCAAUUGCUGGCAUCCACAUUUUUAUUGGUGGUGACGUAUUAUUGGUCCUCACAUCAUCAAGGCUACCUGUGGAAAUCAUUAGUAGGCUGUGCUAAAUCGAAUAUAUUAGGGCUUGCGGAGGAUGCGGCAAGGAAGCCCUUGUUCAUACCAACCCUUAAAGCUUUAACUCUCGUCAACGUCAAGGUACCAAGUAGUUGGUUGAGGCAACCGCAAAGCCAGGUCAAGGAAUGAUGACGCUCGAAACAAGAUAAUUCAUGCAGAGGCAAGAAGAAAUUAUAUCCUAUACGGCAUGCACGGCAUGUUUCUCCAUACCAUCAAUCACAACUGCUCAUCUCUUUAACGGUCAAUGAGAUAAGCACUUAAUGAAUGAGAUCCAUAAGGAUGAGUGGCGGUGCAUGCCAUGUAGAAUAUAAUUUUUCAGAAGAAAAGGUGGCAGAGAUGGCUAAGCUCAAGAUGGAUAAACUUACAAUACAGCGAGGAUCAUGGUAAUAAUGAAUUAGGUCAUCAUAACACAACCCAUGGACACCAUAUAUAAGCGGAAUACGGGCCCCAAGCCAUAUAUGAGUUCAAUGAGACCAGGACCAUCCAGCUGGCCAAUUACUGGCCUAACCCUGGUCUUGCUACCUGAGAGCAGCAUGGCUCCUAGCCAUGGGACCAAUCCACACUGCUGGACCUGGGCCUGGGCCUACACGAGUCUGUCCCACUUGUCAAGGAGGUGCUCUCUUACUACAAAAGAGGGGGGAGAGAGGUUUGGUUGAAAGAAGGUUUGCAAAGACCAGCCCAAGAAACAAAAUAUCCACAACCAACCUCUAUUCCACUAGGUCUGUCAGAUGAAUCGCGCAGCUUGAGAAAAACUUAGAUCAAGCUUAUUUUUGAAGCUAAAUGAAUCAAGUGGCAUAGCCUGCCAACUUUAUACCAUGCAAACAACUUAGGCACUUACAAAUAAUUUCGAAGUUUAUCAGGGGACUAUAAAUAUAUAUUCUCCCAACGUAUCGUUCUUACAGAAACUGACCUCGGCGGUCUUUGCCUUAGCUAGCAACGUGAGGAUUUAUAUGUAAUUCGAAGACAAACCAGGGAGUUGAAGUAAUUUUCUGAGAAGCUUAAACUGGACUUCGGCUAUUAUGAUGUAUGAACCGGCCUCCCCCACGGACCACCAGUCGGGCUUUCCCACAAACAGGUAUGGAUGCAGGCAUGACUCACGUCACAUACAAAUAGUUUCAUUCAUACGAUGGUAUCGAUGCAUUCUUCAAAAUGAUUUAUUCUGGAGAACAAACUCUNNNNNNNNNNNNNNNNNNNNUUAAAGAAGCUUGGGGGUGGGGGCUCCCAAGUGAAGAACACUGCACGGAACACCAUGAUUUGUUUUCAAUCUAUGUCUUUUUGAAAGCAUUCUGAAAUUUUUCAUGUUUCUUUUUUUGAAAGCAUUCUGUGUUUUGGUUUUCGUUUCAAUUUUGCCCAUGUAAUGUAUACCCCUUUCCCCCCAACCGAAAAAAAAAAAUAAAUUUCUCCAUACAAACUUGACAGAAGCUCAUCUGAGAAAACAGGGGAUGAAUCCCCUGUUCAAGGGGAAACGGCGCCCCUAUUUUCCCUUCUCUCGAUUGCGCCCCGGGCCCUUUGUUUCCCNCUACAAUUCUACAAAGCGUCAGAGAGAGCACGCUUUUUUUUGUUCUUUCCCCUCUUCCAUCCCUUUGUUCCGUGGAUAAGAACGAGAGGAAGGGGCGGCGCUUUGUUUUAAUUUCGCAUCCUCUCUCAGAGCUCCCAGCCCUCUCGUUCUUCCUCUCACGCGUUCCCUCUCCCUCUCGCCCUCUCUCACACGCACUCUGUCCUUCUCUCUCUCUCACACACACACACAUACACACUCGUUCUCUCUCAGUUAAGCCUAAGGGGCUCCACCAUACCACCUCCCAUACCCCCGCCCUGCGACAGAAAACAGGGCUGGUUUCGUUACCCUGUUAUAAAAGUAGUAGUUAGAUAUUACAAUUUUGGAAUUUUAGAGGAUUCGAAUAAUUAUUUUAAAAAUAUCAUUUUGGUACUGAUUCCACGUAUAUGUAUGUAGGUAUGUGUAUGCAUGUGUGUGAUUUAGAUUACCAUGUUUCAAGAAUCUCAGGAAAGUGAUUAGAUUUACCUGGGGUAUUAUUGGCAUCUAUGAGAUAAGCGAUUUACUACAUCUUAGUGUGUUUUUUAAGAAAUCUUGAAAAAUUUUAAUUUAUAUUGCCUGAUAAAAUAGUUUUAACGAUUUCUGCAUCUGUUUGAUUAAAUUGUUAAGCAUGUUGUAUUUUAUCUCUGAAAAUGGUACAAAAUUAUAUAGGUACUUUGAUAUUUUCGUAAAUAAGUUAAUUUGGAUAUACGAUCUGUCUUGAUUAAGGGAUUUGGAAAAACUAACUCGGUAAUUUGUGAAAAUACUUGAAGCCCAUGGUGUUUGAGGAUUGUCUCUAUGAAGAAGAGGCUGGCAUCACUCACCACCCUCAUUUCAUGCCCGAAUCAAAGAACAACCCAAUAGAUGUUAAAAACAAGAAUGCUGCAACAAAAACAAAAAGAAAGGAUUUUUUCAGCUAAAACCAGGCAAUUUAUGAGGAACACAAGAUACCAAAGACCAUAAGCAGAUUUAAUGGCUUCGAUGAUGUAACGUUGAUUUAUUCUCAAAAAAAACAAUGGCUGACUGGACAAAUAAUGGCAGUAAUGUUUAUUAUAAGGAUCAAUGGCAAUUUCAGUAAGGAUUCGUUGUUUGAGGUUGCUGCCAUCAGAAUAUUCAUUGAAACUACUUUCAAACAUUGGAAAUAAAAUUAAGCAGUAAAAUAAUCAGCAAAGAAUGAUCAUUCUUUGGUCUUUCGUUAUGUGAAAUUCAAAACAAGCCAUAUCAUGAUGUCUAUGAUUUUGGGUUUAUGAUGCUCUUUUGACAAGGAACAUCUUAUAUUUUCUGCCUUUCCAAAUCUUUUUCUUCAGUUUACUAGUUCUUUUCUUCUUUGAGAAUGUAAGUGUGAUCAUGACUUUGCUGCCAUAAUGUGCCGAUUUGUUGAAAGUUUGCUAGUACUACGCUUGGGUGGAAUACAUGUAGAACUUUUCAGAAUGGCCACAGGAGCAGCACAAAAUGGCUAUCUGUGAAGAACUGUUGUCAGGUUGAUCUUAUAUUCCAGUGGAAUAUAUAGGUUUCUUUCGCACUACUGCAACUUUUUGCUGAGUAUUAUAAAGAAUAAUAUCCAUAGUUUUAAAUUCAGGAGACAUGAACUCUGUAAUAGAUAAUCCAAUUAGUUUCCUCCUAUCAUUAUUUUCCUAACUUUAACUUGAGCUGAAUGAUGAAGGCACUAACCAUACUAGAGAACUCUGUUUGUUAUGGUAUACUUCAUGCAUUUGCACAAAAAUUCCACAGUUUAUGAAGUAGAGUACAAUUUCAGUGAAUUUUACAUGAAACUUAGACCAAAUAAAACAUCAGCAAAAUUUAUCUGCAUCUCUGACAUUCUUUCCACUGUAAAAUUACAAACCAGGUCAGAGAGGUGAAAGAGGGAGGGAAAAAAAGGAAAGCAAGAGGAAACAAUUUUUUUUAAAAAAGGGAUGGUGCUAAAAUGGUCCUUGACCAUAAUUCAAAUAAAUUGACCCGCUUGUGCGAGAUAUUUGAGGGUCAAGUCAAGCAUGGUUAGUGAGGAACCCUGAGAGGCAGGGGAAGAGCUUCAUUGGGUGGCAUUGGAAUUGUCUCGAACUUGCAAUCUACUGAGAAUACUUGGGCAGCAUUUUUGCGAUCGACGGCGAUCAACCUGUUGAUGAGCUGCAGGAGGAUCCUUUCAAGCUCCUCACCAUUGCUCCAUUCAUGGAUUUCAGCCUUGAGCUGCUGAGGGUUGUCACAGAUGAGCUGCCACAGAGGGUAUUCCUUCCUCGGCAUCACAUAGUCUUCUUCACUUAGCCUGAGAGAAGGGCAGUAGUCUCCCUUCCCGUCACCCAAGUAGAUGAAUCGCUUCUUUCCCUCUACAGAGGCUUGUGCUUGGAUUCGCUCGAUGAUCUUACCCUGUAUUUGGCGAAAUCAAGGAUUGGAUUGAGAGCCAAAGUAAUAAGAGAAUCAAGACUCAUAGAAGGGCUAUAGCAACUCAAGACACUGUUACUUUCCAUUGCAACCAUGGUUCCUAAAAUCUUACUUUUAGCUGUGUGGGAAAUUUGUUAUUACAAUGUUUUAGAGGUCUACAUCAAUGCUUUGCCAUGUAUUUGGCUAAGAUAUAUUCUGUAUUCUUUGCUCAGGGAAGUGAUUAAAAUCUGUUUUGACCUCCAAAGUUCAAACCAAAUUGAUCUACUCUCUCUCUCUCUCUUUUCUGAAGCAUUAUGAAAGGAGGAAAGACAAAAGUUACAACUUAAAUAAUAAGAAAAUUGUAAAUUUUUUGGAAACAUUGAUGAAGUUAUGGCUUGAAAAGGCACUAAAUUUACAUGGUUUAACCUCUAUCUUCAUGGUCAGAGAAUAUUUACCAUAAGCAACCAUUGGAUUCCACCUUGCAUCAUGCGAUGACACAAAACACCAUAGUGAACAAAUAAUUAAAGAUUUCUUAAAAAAAUAGUUACCUUGCACAUGUUUGGAGGACAGAGGCUGCAGCCAUGGGAAGAGGUAGAGAAGUCAUGGUAAGGGAAGAUCCUAAGCCUCCCCUCCUCAUCCACAUAGCUUGGAUUGGUAUUAACCUCUGAGAAAUACUCAAGAAGCCCAUGGUGUUUGAGGAUUGUCUCUAUGAAGAAGAGGUUGGCAUCACUCACCACCCUCAGCUCACACCUAAACCAAAGAAGAACCACCCAUCAGCACAAGAAAUGCGUAAACAACGGAAGAGUCGCAACCAUCGGCCAUGGCAAAAGAAACAAGAAAGCGUACCCAUGAGCGUAAGCCGAUUUGAUGGCCGCGAUGACAUGAGGAUCCAAUGGAGCCUUCUUCAGGCAGUCUGCGAUCUCCUCGACGGUCUUUCCCUGCGAAUGCAGCUCCUUCAUCAUCCUAUCCUGAAAGAGUUAUAAAAGACAACAAUAUGCACUGAGAACUGAGCUGGAUAGGAUUUGUAAUGGAGAAGAAAGCAACGGGUGGGAUGCGGUAUCGAUGCACAAACCAUGAGAGAAUUCCACGGCAUGGUCGGGAGGAGGCGCUCGAAUAGCUCGGUGGCGCCGAGCUGGUCGACGACCCAGUUAUCGCUGUCGCAGUCUAUGAUCGUCUUGUCGAAGUCGAACACCACGAUGAUCCCCGCCAUCGAAUCUUUCGCAACUCCUCUUGGAAUAGCAAUUCUAUUCUGUGAGAAUUUUGAGGAUGCAAUGGCUUGGAAAGAGGGGGGGUAUAUAUAGGGAGCAGGGGGUGCCAGAGGAAUAAUAUGUGACACAUGUGGUGAUGGGAAAUGGGAGUAGCUGCGGACUCAGGUUUUCUUUUGCCGUUGUUUGGUUUUCUUCUUCUUUUUUUUUUAUCCCUGAGGAUUUAUUCUACAGUGGGUGGAAUAGCCACCACUAGGCGCGGUUCCGAGAAGAAUCGGGGAGGAUAGGAUGGGAAUAUUCGGGGGAGCACCGAAACUUUGGUGGGAACGCGUGGACCGCACGCCGCCGUCGCGCAAUCUCAAUGGUUUAGGAGCCUUCGGGAGGAGGGAAUAUUCGGGAUAGGAGCAGCCGGAUCUCCGCGCCCGCCUUAUACUCCGUGGCUUACCUUUCUUGAACGAUGGAGUCCAGAAGGAUUGACCCCGGCGUUCCUUCUUGGUCGUAUGACGACUGCUCCUGAUGUUUUGGGCAGGUAGCCAGGGCCUAUUUUUAAUUAUUGUCAUUAAAAUAUAUUUUUUUCCUUCUUAUCAUCUAUUUUUUCCUUCAUCUUUUAUUUUUUCAUUUUUCUUCAAUUCCUUUCUUUCCUUUUUUUUUCUCAUUCUUUCUUACCUAUUUUUAUUUUUUUCUUCUUUCUUCUCUCGUUCUUGUUUUUUAUGCGGAUUAGUUUUGAAAUCUUAACCACCUCCUAAUCUUGUUUACCAAGAGACAGAAUGGAUGGACAUGUAUGUAAUUGUUCGUAGUUCUUGUAUUGUUCAUAUUUGUAUUUACUUAGAUAAGUAUCCAUAAUUUUAUAAAUAAUUUUGGUAUUUUAUUUUUUUAUUUAAAAAUUUUGAUUAUUUGAAUAUUUUCUUAAAUAUCAGAGCAUUUUUUUGAUUUUUUUCUUAAUUUAUAGUGAACUUGUGGUCAUGUUUUUUUUGUGAACAAAGUAGAGGAGAAGGUAACAUAGUUCUGAUUUUUUUUAAUCUAUUUCUUUUUGAAAGCAUUCUGAAAUUUUUCAUGUUUCUUUUUUUGAAAGCAUUCUGUGUUUUGGUUUUCGUCUCAAUUUUGCCCAUGUAAUAUAUACCCCCUCCCCCCAACCAAAAAAAAAGAAAUCUCCAUACAAACUUGACAUAAGCUUAUGAACGAUUCAACAAAGUACUUUAACAAAAAGUAAUAAAAAGAAAAACUAAAAUCGGCUAGAUUAGCCCAACACAACUCUUAAUAUGUUGGCUUUGGAGAACUCCUAACUUCAAAUAGAUGAAUGCAGUUGAUGGAAGGCAAAAUGGAUCAUCCUACCUCAGCGUGGGAACACCCAAUUUUAGCGAAAUAGACCUCAGCACCGAGCAGACCAGACCUCGGUCCCGUUGGGCGCCAGUCCAACCUUGGACCUCAUCAAAGGCCGAGCUAACUUUGACCAGAUCUCUCUGCUGCCAUGAGCCCGUAUGAUCGAUCAAGAGCCGAAGAGGCCCUGUCGAUCGCCUCUAAUAUAACGACGUCCCAGGCCCGAGCUCAGGGCGCUCUGCAGGAUCGACCAAGAGUCGAAGAAGCCCCAUCGAUCACAUGUAUCCAUAAUGACGCCCCAGCCCGAGCUCGGGGUGCCCUACCGAGCUGACCUCCGAGCCGAGGAAGCUAGGCCGACCCUAGCGUCUGCCAAGCUGCCCUCACCAAGCAUAUAUCGCGGCCCCUAAGUCGGCCCGACCUCAGUACUCACCAAGCUGACUUCACCAAGUAAAUGCUAUNNNNNNNNNNNNNNNNNNNNNNNNNNNNNNNNNNNNNNNNNNNNNNNNNNNNNNNNNNNNNNNNNNNNNNNNNNNNNNNNNNNNNNNNNNNNNNNNNNNNNNNNNNNNNNNNNNNNNNNNNNNNNNNNNNNNNNNNNNNNNNNNNNNNNNNNNNNNNNNNNNNNNNNNNNNNNNNNNNNNNNNNNNNNNNNNNNNNNNNNNNNNNNNNNNNNNNNNNNNNNNNNNNNNNNNNNNNNNNNNNNNNNNNNNNNNNNNNNNNNNNNNNNNNNNNNNNNNNNNNNNNNNNNNNNNNNNNNNNNNNNNNNNNNNNNNNNNNNNNNNNNNNNNNNNNNNNNNNNNNNNNNNNNNNNNNNNNNNNNNNNNNNNNNNNNNNNNNNNNNNNNNNNNNNNNNNNNNNNNNNNNNNNNNNNNNNNNNNNNNNNNNNNNNNNNNNNNNNNNNNNNNNNNNNNNNNNNNNNNNNNNNNNNNNNNNNNNNNNNNNNNNNNNNNNNNNNNNNNNNNNNNNNNNNNNNNNNNNNNNNNNNNNNNNNNNNNNNNNNNNNNNNNNNNNNNNNNNNNNNNNNNNNNNNNNNNNNNNNNNNNNNNNNNNNNNNNNNNNNNNNNNNNNNNNNNNNNNNNNNNNNNNNNNNNNNNNNNNNNNNNNNNNNNNNNNNNNNNNNNNNNNNNNNNNNNNNNNNNNNNNNNNNNNNNNNNNNNNNNNNNNNNNNNNNNNNNNNNNNNNNNNNNNNNNNNNNNNNNGCGUACCACGCUUGCUUUGAUCGCGUUCUUUGUGCUGCGAGCAAGUUUGGCGAAGCCAAAUGGUCUUAAAUAAUUCUGGUUGGAAGGACCGGUGGGUCACAAAAUUGUGUUAGUGCUUGCAAAAGUUUCUGCUGGUUUCAAUGUGAUUGGAAAAGGUCUAUAUUAAUUUGAAUCAUAAUGGCCCAAUCUAGGUUCUUAAAACUAGAUUAAAAUUAUAAAGUUAGCCAGGAUUUUGUGGUCAAGCUGGGUCCAAACCAAUUAAAAAAAAAACUCGCCUGACCCAAAACAUGAAUUAAACUUGCUAAAGUGAGCUGGACCAUGGGUGAGAUCAUGUGUCUAUUGGGAUCGAAUCCACAGGAUUCCAGCUGUUGGUUUAGGCUUUCAAAUGUUGAUUAAGUUAAAUUUGGAUGUGGCUUACAAAAACUAGUGUAUUUUGUUGGAGAUCCACUUAGGACUUUGAUCCCUCCAUUGGUGUUUGUGAGGUGGGAAUUUAAUAUAAAGCACGACCUUCCCACCUUCCUAGUCUCGGAGGAGAUUAUGGUUGCCAUCCAGGACUCCAAAACAAGGGUACAACCUGGGCCAUCCAUAGCAGUCCUGUGGGAUUGGGUGGUUUUUUCCUUCUUUUUUUAUAAAAAAGUAACUUGAUUUUUCAAUCUAACGAAUGAUAUCUUCUAUAGAUGAGCAUGAAUGUUGUUGCAUAGACGUUUGAUUUAUUGGUUGAUGGUAUACGAAAUCAGGUCAUGAGCAAAAAUGCAUGCAUGGAGGGGUCAAUAUGCAUGGUAGAUUAAACGCUUGCAUGGAACGUUUGUGCAAUUGGCUAAAGGAUGGGCUAGUCCUGACUCGCGUGGUUGCCAUCCGAUUUGAAGUUUUGUUCUUGCCUAGAUUCUUUACGCUUCUUAGAGCCUUUCAGGAGUGAAUGGGGCUGAUGUUUUGGAUGAUUUGCAUGGAGAAUCUUGGUCACACACAUUUACUCCUCGUAUAAAUUUAUCUUGUAUAUGUGGAAUCAGAUUUACUAGGGUGUAACACAAUGCUAAUUAAGGAUGGGAAGUAUAUAGAAUUGUUGAUUCUUUUUUUUAGGAGUUUGAAAUGCUAUGGAUGUUUUGCAUCAUCUUCAUCCAAGGCUUUUGCGUUACAUGCAACGGAGAUUAUUUAUCAAUGCUAGGCAAGUAUUUGAAUUCCUCAUUCAAGUGUUGCUUCCUACUGUUGACACUUGCUCCUACUCCUUGCUAUUAAGAUGGGGUUUGGUUUACGAAAUUUUCAAAAGGCAAUGUAUAUAUGGUGCACUUAGAAAAAAAAAAAGAGAGAAAAAAAAGAAGGGGAAUGGAUAGUGUGCAACAAAAAGAUAAAUUAAUCAAAAAUAAUAAGCUUCUCUCUAUCAUUUUGGGAUGCACCCUCAAGUUCUAGAUUGCCUUUUUUUUUUAAAAACAAAAAAAAAAAAAGAAUCUUUAGACCUCGUACCCAUAUAGCUCCUUGUACGCACCCUAGCUUUAAUAGCAUUAGCAACAAUUUAAGACCAUGUCUAAAAAAAUCAAUUGAAAAAUAUUAUUUAGAUUGCUUGUUUUUACAUAAAUAAAGAUUUUUCGAGCGCACAACCAACAUGGGAUCGAACAAGUUCUCUUUUGUAAAACAUAUGCAUCCUUUUGAUUUCAAUGGAUGGGGAAAUAAUAAUGGAUUGCGCAGCGGGCCUAUGGACCAUGGCAUGACUGUUGGACUUCCAAUAAAACCAGCUCUGAUUGGAGCUAGACCGGCAAUUUGAGGCCCAAGACUGUUAAAAUCCUAUACAACUUCAGCAACUGGUCUCAUCUCAUGCACUCCUCUUCAUCCUUACCCUUUAGUACUCCAAGAACACCCUUCAUCGCUUAUAGUUCUUUGCUCCACUCCUUUUGCUCCUCUUGUGUGCUAUCUUGGCUCUUAUUAAGCUUUGGCCAUGAGCCAGAUCCACUUUGAUAUUAUUUGUAACAACCCAGGACGCCACGCAAAUGGCUAGCCAGAAUUUUUUUUUUGAAUUCCUUAGUCUUGUAUAAAUACCCAAAAUUUUCUCUGUGAAUAACCGAUGUGGGACUAAACACAUACCCACACGGAUCCUCACAUUGGUUACCAGAGAGUAUGCUAGCUCUUCUAUUUUCGAGAACUUAUAAAGCAUUCCCAGGAGCAACGGAUGAGAGUGAGCCUUGUCGAGUUCCAGAGUGAUAACUAUAGUUGGACGGAAGAAAUAAGGGUGCAUUCGGUUCGCAACCGGAAUUGAAAUUUGAAUUGCAAGCGGAAUGAAUUGGAAUAGGAAUAAAUGAGAUUUGAAUACUAAAGGAGAGUCGAAACUGAAUUUUGGAAGAUUGAGGUAUUUUCAUUUACUCCUUAAAUCAGAAUCAAAACAGAACUCUCCGUAACCAAACAACUGAAUUGGAAGUCAGUUAUUCUCAUUCUCAUUCUGGAGUCCAAUUCUUUUCAGCCAAAUAUGCCCAGACCAUCAAUAGCCUUUAGACCGGCUUUUGAUCUUGUAAGUUGGACUUCUCAAAUCAUUUGAUGUGUGAACUCAUAGGGGGUGACACCUCAUGAGGUCUUAUAAAACUGGUAACCCAUAGGGAAUGUGAAGCGUUUUGGGCCUAGCCUUGGGUGGGGGCCUUCUUUAGAUAAUUGGCUUUCUACUUAAUUAACCGAAACCUGUUCCAAGAGUAUCCCCACAAAAACAUGUUGAAUAAUCAAUUAUUAAAUGUUGAAUUUUGUUGCAUCACGAUCAUAUGCAUCUUUUUAUCGGUGGACAAGCUGAGCAAGAUGAAGAUCGAGCUUGCUUCUUUAAUAUUUUCCUUUGCCAUUUCAUGUCUUUUGAACUUUUCCAACAAAGACCCGAUGGUUUUUUGACAUGAGAAAGAGGUCCCUACGGAUUCAUGCAAGCGUUCGGUCCAAUACUGGAGCAGUAUCUUCGUAGCACUUCCCAUAGGACGGUCAGCAAAUAUUUUUAGGCUUCAGGCGUUUGAGAAUUGGGAAUGGAUGGAAGCCUCGCGAAAUAUCAGAGACUAGGGGCAGGAUCUACUCAAGCCUCUUGGAUCAAUACAAGAGACUUUGCCAACUGAGUCAAUUGGCAUCCUCAAAUUUAGGCCGUAGUUAUUCUUAAAUAAUGUAGUUUAUCUAUGGUUUUUUUAGCAUGCUACAUGCUUGGGCUUUUAAAUUAAUGAAAUGUUAGAUCCAAUAGUUUUAUUAAUGGGAAGCAUGUGGUUUCGUACGUCCAAGUGCAGAGUAUUCUGAAUUGUAAACAAAUCACUCUCUUGGGCGCGUACCUCUUGGAAGCUAGUAAGCUGCACUCUAUUUCCCAUUUGUUAAUUCUUCGGAAGGCCAGCUAUAGGUUUUUUGAAAAUGUAGAUAAUACUAACAGAUCCUGCAAAGCACUAAACAUACCUUUAGAGCCUUUAGCUUGGCUAUUAUAAAAAAUAUAGAGACUUUUAACUUCAAGGCAGAAGAUAAUGGUGAUGGUCGCUUCAAUUAAUGGUUGUAGAUAAGAAUGUCAUUAAUGAAUCAACGAAUAAAAGAAUGAGUUGGUUUUAUCCUCAAUUUACGUGGACUAAUAUAUGAACAGAUUGUAUAGAAGCCUGGCUUAAUCAGAACAGCUUCCUGGCGAAGUCUGUGAACUCUUCACCAACUUGACAUGAGUGUGAGGCGAAGCCCUUCAUCUCAAAGAGGCUCCUUCCAAGCUGCAAUGCCAUCUUCAACUGAAACAAAACUCCAUUCUCUCUCUUCUCCACUUCUCUUUCCUCCAAGUUGAGCUCAAUUACCUCCUCCAAUUAUCUGCAGAAGCCAGCACAGUCUAACUCAGGACCUCAACUAAAAAAAGGUAGCCGAGAUCUAUCCAAUUCUCUUCUCUGUCAUAGAAAGUGUUCGUAGUUUAUUUGGGUCAGAAGGGGAAGAAAGAUGGGAUGAUUUGGUCCAUUUGGAAGCAGUGUUUUGUGUUGAGAAAUGGGUUUGGAUGCCCUCCGUUCAUAGUGAGAAGAGGUGGCCGUCGAAGAGGUUUGAACGGGUGAAGAUUCAAAGGAAUUAUGUUUAUUCCAAGUUAUUCCAAGUUAUACAAUCUGAUGAACGGACUUCUUUAUGUUUAUUCCAAGUUAUUCACAAACCAAACUGAGCCCAUACGCUGCAACUUGUUUAUCUAGAUAUGUCAAGACAACAUGUAUGACACGUCUUUUUCUUCGAGACAAUAUAUGCAAUAUUUCUUAAAUUCUUUCUAUUUUUUUGUUAAAUGGUUCAAAAAUUUAAACUUGACCUUAAUCCAUUUAAUAAAUAGCCAAAUAGGUUUAAACGAAUUGACUUAUUUACGAUUCAAAUUUGUUUAUGUCAAUUCUAAAUCUGCUUAAAUCGGACCAUUCAUGGAUCGAAUUGAUAGGUUGGAUCAUAAAUUGCCAUCCAUAUGACAUGAAUGGGUUUUUUUUUCCUUAUUCUGGUGUAGUAUGCAUUGACCCUACAUGGUGAUUGUUUAUUAUUUAAUAUAAUUUUCAUAGCAUAACUAUAACUUUGUAGCAGAAAAAAUAAUUCACUUUAUAGAUUUUUUUAAACUAUAUCAAUUAGUUAGGUUGGACAUGGAUGGACUCCUAGGUAGAAAUGACUAACUAGUCUUCGCCAAGGAAAAGUCUAUGUUUUAAGCUUAUUAUUUGAUGCAUGGACGUGGUUACACAUCCAGGGUGUAACAUUUUUGUUAAAUUCAAUGAUGAAAACUGCCAAUGAAAAUCCAAAAUGCUUGCAAAUAAAAUAAAAAAAAAUCCCGGAGACUUUUUAUUUAUAUACAGAUGAGUGAUAUCCAAAACAUAUAUAUUCUUUUUAUUGUAAAUAUAUUAGAACUUAUAGAUCACAUACAAUAGUUUACGUUCUCAUUUUUCAAUUCUGAUUAGUAAAUUCGAUGGUGGAAAUAAAAUUUUUUGUAUAUAAACCAAUAGCGAAAACAACAAAUAACAGUUAAUACAGUACCAUAACAAUUAUAUGAUGAUUAUUAUUUAGUUAAUCUAAACUAUAUCAUGCAUAUAUAACAAAGUUUCAACAACGCUGCUAUUCUCAUUACAAUGAAUCCUCACCAAAAAUGUUAAUGAUUGUCAUAACGGUUUAAAGUGACCAUUAUUUGUCAAAAAAUUACUAUAAGAUUGGGUUUUGUACUGGAUUUAAAGUAAAAAAAUUUGUAUAAUGGCUGUACAGUGGAAAAUAACAGUCAACAAUAAAAGAAAAAAAAAAAAUCAACCCCAUCAUUUGUCUCGUUCACCAAAUAAAAAUCAUUUCUUUUGACCAUCCGAACAGUGUUUUCCAAAUGCCACAAAAUUUUGGGUGAAGGGUGCAAUAUUGGUAAUUGUUGUCAUAAUAUUAUUAGCCGUUAUAAUAAAAAAUAAUUAAUGUUUCAGUAUUCACUAUCAAUAUUUAAUCGUAAUGAUUACCUUUGAAACUAAUGACCGUUAUAUAAUCUAAUCAAAGGCUGUUGAAACUGUGACAAUGGCCGUUUUAAAUCUUGGAGCCACUCCAUUUGCAACAUUUUUAUCUUGGCUCUGUAUACCGAGUUAUUCAUUAGUUGAUGAGGUGGAAAAGCUUGAUGUUUGUAUGGUAAUUCAAGACAUCACUCACAAAGACUAGCUAAAAAAUAUUAUUAAUUUUUUUUAAUUCUAUAUAAGUUGUAAGAAAAUAUAAAAUAUAUAAAUAAAUCUACCUCAUCCUAUAAGCUUAAGCUUUUAGAAAAAGUAAUGAUUUCAACUUGAUAUCAGAGCAGAGGUUCUAGUUCGAAUUCUAUCUCUACACUCUUUAAUCCCAUUAUUAAAAUUUUCACAUGUUGGGCUCGCCCAUUAAAUGAAAGUCCGACCCACAUAUAAGAAGAAGUGUAAGAAAAUAUAAAUUAUAUAAAUAGAUUUACCUCAUCCUAUAAGCUUAAGCUUUUAGAAAAAGUGGUGAUUUCAACUUAAGUAUCCAAAAUUUAUCCAGUGAAUAAUCGACGUGAGACUAAAUACAUACCCGCACGAUCUUUACAUACUCACAUCGUUUAAACUCUGACGUCCUUGUCCGGCUAAAUGUAUAAAUUUAUUCAAAUCUAAUCACCAGAUAACUUAUGGUCAAUCUUAAUUAGUUGGUGCUGUAGUGUCCUAUAAUCCAUAUAGAUCAUAGAUCGGAUCCUCCCAUAUACUAUUUAUAAUAAUUUAUAAUCUUAUAAAAAAUUAAUUAAAAAUUAUUAUUUAAUUUUUUAAUUAUAUAUAAAUAUUGAAAAUUUAUUUAUUAAAAAAUUGAUGCAUGCACCUUUGAAGCUCGCAACAAAAGCAGCAAUGGGGAAGGGCGCUGCAUGUGCUAGCGUACAAACAAACGCAUGCCUCCGUAUGCCCUCAGGUGAAACCGGAGGGGGCGGCAAGCUUUUUAUCUCCCUUUCCCAAGGAAAAGUCUUUCCUUCUGACCUCUUAAUCCCUUCAUAUGUUGCCUUCAAUGCAGUGCCCCCACAGUACUUGCAGACGUGCUCUCUCUCCUGCGGCCUGCCAUACCGCCACCUUUCAAUAAAAGGAUUAACAUCGAAUAAUUACUCACUAAAAACAUCUUAACUACUCAGAAUCCUAAAACACUCCGACCAUGACUGAGUAAGAGAUCUUCCAAUGGAUUUUGCUGACAUCACCCUGUCCUCUCCUCCCUCCCCACUGCAGCAAUCUUUGGAACUGCAGCCAAAGGUGUCGUUGACUCGUCUCUCCCCUCCAUCCUUCUCUUUCUAUCCCAAGCACUCGCUUGAAUGGAAAAUAAUCCUAGGGAAGGUAGCCUUCCUUGGAGGUGUAGCUGAGAGCAGCUGCCGAAGAACAGAGAAUCCUGAUGACUUUGGCUGAGAUGAUCAUUCCUGAAAGAAGGGAUGGAGGUGGAAACGCCAGAAAUGAGCGGGGGAGAGGAGGGGGAGGAGGGCCCCCCACAAAAGCCUGCACCAAAGGUAAUGCUCCUCCCCCUCCUGCUUUUGUUUUUUCUUUUUUCCAACCAUGAGUAGCUCCUCUUUUCUUUCCCUUUUCAGAUGCAUGCUUUUGAUUGAUAUUUGAUGGGCCAUGCACCUCUCUCUCCUCUGCUAAAAGUCUCUUGGCCAUUUCCUCAAAACGCUUCUCUUUUCCUGUUCUGGGUCUGCUUUGCUUUUAUAUUUUCUGUCCUUCAAAAGGAAGUCUUAAAAAAAAUCCUAUUUUUCUGCUUUCUGGUUUGUAUUUUGUGGCUGGGGUGGAAAGGUAGGGGGCGGAGAGAGGGUCCAUGACUCACCUGGUGGUAUGAUAUGUUUUCUUGAGGUUUCUUGAGGAUUUAAAAUGGUAGAAUUGCAAGGGGGAAGGGGCCGGCUGGGGGCUUCUUGUAAAUGUCAACCUUAUGUUCUCUCACUGUGUGGGAAAAAAAAAGAGAGAAUGAUUAGUUUCCCGUUCAGCUUUGAACCCAUGCAUGAUGAAUCAUAGGAGGAGUGAGAACCCAUCAUACCUUUGAUGGCUCUUGAAUCCUUUGCUUUGGCUUUAGGGUAACUAACACCUUUUGUGUAUAUUAUCUUUUGGCUUUUGCUUUAAUGAAGCUAGGGAUAACCUUUUGGUUUGAUCGAUCAUAGGGAGUUAAAAUGAUGAAUCGUUUUGUAUGCGGUCAAUCUCAUGCUUGUCUUUUGGGGGUUUAACUCUGAAGUAAAGCCCACUUCUUUGAUCAAAUCAGAAAGAGCAUGUCAUUUGAUGUUCCAGACAGUAUCCUCUGGCUUUAUGCUUGUAGAGUAGGGAGAAUGCAUAGUUUUUCUUCAGCUCUGCACACCAUUCUUUCUGUUUGUGCGGUGUUUAAUAUCCCAAUUUUGUGGAUGCUUUUCUUUUUUUCAGAAAAAAGCAUUACUCUUUUUGAGUCUUGAUUUAAACAUAUGUAAUGAUGAUAUGUGUCUGAUAAAAUUGGUGCUCGAUUGUUUUACACUUGCUUUCGUUUGGUUAAUGAUGCGAUUCAAUCUUGUAUGCUUUUGAUGUGGAAGUGAAUCACUUUCCUUAGCUGGUAAAAGAGAAGGUUUUUUUGGUUUUGUAUAACAGGAAAAGGGAGGGCAGCAUCAACCUAGUUUAAUUCUCCGUUCUUUUGGUUAUAUUUCGGGAUAUGGGAAAGAAGUUACCUGCGAGUUGUCAUUUGGCCAUGGCCAUGGAUGUUCUGUGUGCUGUCAUGCACCCAAGGGAGGUUGGAUCUCUGAGCUUUACUUCUCUACUGCUCGCUCUUAUUUUCUUCAUUUGAUACAGAUGUCAUUUGGAACUCUUUUCAUUAAGAAAGGAACUAUUUUUUUCCUUAUGAUAUCUUCUACCAUGCAUUGAUCAUUAGUUACUUAGCAAGCAUAUUGUCUACACCAGCUGGUACUUUGCACUGUGAAACUGGAAAUAUAUGCUCUUUUUUUUUCAGGUUCAUGUCAGUCACUCUCUCUUGCACCCAUCUUCUCUUAAGCUGGAAGUUUGAAAAAGGUCUCUGAGGUGAUAUGUUGCUUACCAUCACCCUAAGAACGUGGUCAUGCUUUAAGUGACUUCUGUAAUCUUAGCAUAUUUUUAUGUGUUUAAUUUCAUGUUUAUUAUGUCUCUUCUUUAAGAACUAUUAAUAUGUGAAGGUUGUGCAUCUUUCUACAAUUUAAUGCUCAUGUCCAGAAAUUUAUUUGAUAUCUUUAUACAUGUCCCUAAAUGUCUCAGAGGUUAUUGUUUCCCUUUUCCGUUCUAAUAUCUAUCUCUGCCUGUUGAGUAUGAGUAGGUUUAUAGGAGAUGAUUUGGAGGCACAUCUUUUGCAUGUUGUAAUUAACCCUUUUUUUCCUUGAAUGCUGCAGCUUUUGAUAUUCUGUUCUUAAUUAGCUUAUAUUCUUUCAAGUAAUACAAUGGAUAUGAGAACAUGACUAUAAGAAUCAUCCGCAGACCUCGUAAUACAAUGACUUGGAACACGUUUACUAAUUCUGAUUCUAAGAGGAAAAUAUAUGUCGGAAGACAUCGGACGCAUCAUGACUGCAGCACAUUUUAAACCUCACUAGCCGAAAGUGCUGUCUGAUCUGGAGUUGAAUCUCUUUAUGUUACUUGCACUUGGGCAUCAUUAAGAGAAUAGGCAGUUACCUAUCAUUGAAAGAAUAGAAGUUAGGAUUACCUUGAUCUUCAAUUUUCCUUCCUAUAUGUUAUGAUUUUUCAAUAGUAUGAUGUAAUCUGACUGCCACCCAUACGAGGACUUAAUGAAAGAGACUCUGAAACAAGUAUAGUUCAGUUGGUCUACAGCACUGUUCUAUUAACAAUUCCUCUGAAACAGACUGCAGUUUUCCAGCAUCCCAUUGCAAUGGAGAAUGAUGUUUUUAAUGCCUCUCUACAAAAAACAGAUCAUAAUCAUAUGGACAUCGAUGCAGUUACAUCUGAUAUAUUUUCAGGUCCAUUCAUACAGUCAGGUAUGAUAGAUUAUGACAGCCAUGAGCAGAUGAUUUGUGGGAAUAUUUUGUACCCAACAUUGCCAGAAGAGGUCCAGAACAAUCCUUAUAUAACAAACCAUGGUGCUAUCUCCAAUUAUGCAUCAAGGGGGGAUGCUUCUUUCGAGGAUUCUAUUGGGAAAACUGGCCAGCGGAUCGGAGCUUCUGUGUCUGCUACUUCACUUGCCUACCUUUUGCCUGGCUCCCAUAGUUUGCAGGAAGAUCUUACCGGUUUGGGUGUUUCAUCAGCAUCGCCACUGGGUGAGAUCAGAGCCUUAUCAUCCAGAGACUGUUGCAAUACUUUUGGUACACAGGAUGUUGCUAGGUUUUCAAGACCAAAAGUUGAUGCCAAUAUGAAUGGCAAACUAGAUUAUGGUUGGAAUUGUGAUGGAACUCCAGAUCAUCGAGUUCCUUUGAGUAGAACAAGCAUUGUUCACCCAUCUUAUCAUGUCAAAGGACGCUCGGAACCUGGGUGGGAUUCCAAUGCAUCUACCAUCACAUCUGAUCAUUUACCAAGUUCUUGUGUGCCUAAUAAUGAGCUGUCCCUUAGGCUUGGCUCCUACCAGACUUCUAUGAUGAACAUGCUUAAUGCUCCAGAUCGGUGCUCAGAACUAAGCUGCUCCAAGUUAACUCAAGUUUCAUCAAAAGAUGGUGAAAACCCAGAUGCUAGUGGAUUGCAGGAUUCCUUUCGUGUUUUCUGUUCUUCGCAAAAUGUCAGUGUGGGAAUGGCGCUGGGACUUGCACAAACCUUUGCUACUGGCGAAGAGCUAUCUCUGUACCGUAAUUCUUCUCCCUUCUAUUUUCCUCGCGUUCUUUUAGGAUCAAGAUAUCUCUACAUAGGUCAACAAAUACUCGCCGAAGUUGCAAGUUAUGCAGAGCUGGAUGGCUUGUUUGGUGGGAUUAAGGGUGAGGCAAGGAUGCCCUUUUCUUCUAGUUGUUCCAGUGAAAGAGGAAUUGUAAGUGUCGGUUGUCAUGAGUUCCCACUUUCUUCUGGUGGAACCAAAUCUCAGGACCAUAUGGACCGACAGCAGAGGCUGGAAACUGAAAAGGAGAAGUCUCAGCUGUUAGUGAUGCUUCAAAGGGUAUGUAUCUCCUUUAUUGGUAAUGCUAUAUUAGAUGGUUUGACAUUUCAAUGAUUAAGAUCCAAUGAGCUAACAAUUGUUCAUGCAGUUGGUUGGUGCCUUAACCCUGAUGGCCUGCCCUUCAGGAGGUCCAGGUUUUGAAUCCUGGGUAUUGCUUAGAAAGAAAAUAAUUAAGAUCCAAUCUUUUUUUCAUUUUAUUGCUUUGCGGGUUGUUGUUUGUGGCCGAUAAAAUAUCCAUUUUCUUUGUUUCAAUUGGUCUGAUUCUGGUUCCGAUAAAAGUUACCUGCAAUUUUUCCUCCCUCUUACUAUAUUGCCUGUUGAUAAUGAAUUGUUGCUCCCCUAAGUCAGCGUCAUGGAUAUUUUGUUGUAGUACUUGUUUAUAAUCUAUCUUGCACAUUCUGUUUUUUCAAUCUGUUUAAGCUAAAAGUUUUUUUUUUUGAAACUAUGUUGCUUAGCUUUAGGAUUAAAAUAUCCACAAUGCAUUUGAUUGAAUAUCUUCUAGGUUUCACUUAUUGCAUGUGCAUCGAAGAGGCCGGUUAACCUCUCUCAGUGCAUCGUCACUUGUCAAAGGAUGUAAAUGGUCUAGACAUCAGACCUCUUCGACGUGGGAUUGGAGAAAGCCAGCAAAUUAAAUUUCGUAGAAGUUGCAUGAAUGGAAGUUGGAUACUUGACAUAUAAAUAUAUAUAGCAAACCUAAUCCCAUUGUCAUGUUGUUGGGAGAACUCAGGUAACUAGCACCAGGGAAUCUGUUACUCUCUUGUCCGAUGCUCUUUGAUGAUUUUUUUUUUUUUCAGUAGAAUGCCCUUGAUGAUUCAGAUUCGGUACAGUUCAUCUUGUUUUGGGCUUCCAUUCUAAACAUAACCUUGAUCUGGUCACAGAAUGAAACCUACAGAUAGUUCUUUGUUUCGGUGCUUUGAUGGUAAUGGCAUUGCUGGCAUAUGACAUUCGACCUCGUGAACCAAAAUAUAGUGUAGAUCGCCAGAAAACAAGACAGACAUCAUCAGCAGAUGUUGCACUAUUUGUGAGAAACAAGAGAUAAAGAAUGAAAGGAUUAGGUGUAACAUGGGAAUCUUGAUAAAUUACAUUCUUUUGUCAAUGGGAUGUUGGCUGAAAAAAGAAAAUCUUUAAUAAGAUAGGCUGUGGAGCUGUUAAAUUAGCAAGUGUUAAUGAACAUACUGUAGCUUUAAUUUACUGAAUCAGAAUCUAAAUGAUUGGGCUGAAAAUUUGAGAUCAUAAAGUCCUAUAAGCCUUCUUUCAGACCUGUAACUGGAUUGAUGAUUGGUUUUAUGAAGAUGCGACUAUAGUGCCUAGAAUCAAGCCCCAGAACCAUUAGGUCUCCUGCAGGCCUGCACAGAAUCUCGUUUCACUGAGCUGGAUUGUAAAAGUCACAGAUCUCAGAUCUGCCAUUGGAUCUGAACGAAAUUUGGUGCCAAAGAUUUUAAUAGGUCUUCUUGUGACGCCUUGAAGUAGAUCUCUGAUUGGACCUACAAAGAGAAAAAUUAUGCAUAUGGGAAUUGGCUGCUGUCGGCGGAUCUGCAGCAUUGGAUAAUUAAAGUUUGUGAAACCAUGUAAAUGGCUUCUUGAUCCAAUAUGCAAACAUGUUAGGAUUAUGAUCUUCAGCCUGCAAUCAAUUGGAAAUUAAGUAAUUAUUGCUGUAGUAGGAACUGUACAUAUCAGUAUUGCUUGUUUAUUACAAUCAGCACGCUGAUGCAGUUAAAGGCAAAGUAGGACUCAGUAUGGAGGCACUUAUGGGUCCAGUUGGAAUGCUUUUCUUCUACCCUUCAUUGGAAUCCUGUCCAAUCUCUCCCUCCACAGCAUGCAUCCAAAGCUCCAAGACUCACCAAGCAACCUGGUUCAUUAUCUUCCAAGAACCUUCUCUUGUCAUUUAUAGCUUAGAGUUGCCUCUGUUUGGCUAGAAAUUCCAACAUUGGUUCAAGCUUGCAUGUAUGAACCAAGAAUGCAUGUAUGGUCAUAUUCAGGACCCAAGUCCCAAUGCUUGGAUCGUAGAUAGACUCUAGCAAAAAUUAAUUUUUGAAUGCACCCAAACACAUGGUUUUUUGUUUCUCAGUAAUAAUGGUAUCUUGUCUCUCUAUGUCCUUGUCCUGUUUAUUCUCCUAUGUCAACAUCAUGCAUGGUUUCACAUUGAAUGGAAUCGUGUGCUCUAUAAAUGCGUGCCCACUUCAAAGGAAAUGUUUCAGCUGCUUAGUUUGGAAGUUCACAGCAUUCUUCAGUUCUUAAUUAGACAAUGGAUCAUCUCAGCUUUGGGAAUGCCUAGGUCCAACACAAAGGAUAAUGCUUUUUAAGUGCUCAGAAGUAAAAUAAGAAGGUCAACAAGAUAGUGAAGUAUUUAUGAGGAAUAUAUUUCAUUUGCAUAGUUCCUAAUUCAUAUUAUUUAUGACAGAUUUCUAUUACAUUCACAAAUCUUUUUGUUAGUAAUAAUAACAUACUCCUCCCUUUAUGAGAUUCAG
This 67543-nucleotide long non-coding RNA is filed under the name Phoenix dactylifera (date palm). Its description in RNAcentral is "long non-coding RNA (PDAC_LNC002669)". The record is from RNAcentral. Lineage: Eukaryota; Viridiplantae; Streptophyta; Magnoliopsida; Arecales; Arecaceae.